GGUCGUUAUUUAUAGCAGAUGGAUUUAAGUUAGGGGAUAUCUCGUCCCUACGAUCAUAAUCGGACGGUUGAGAAAAUAUAGGUUAGGAAGUCCAAAUAAUAAACCAAAGAUAUUUUGGGGAUGUUUGGAGAUGAUCCGGACCCAUCGGUCAUGACCGUGCGGUUCGGGUUCGGGAGAGGUUUCGGACGCGGGAGGGAUUUGACAAAAGGUCACGGAGACAAGGGGUUCAAUUUAGAAAAGUGAGAGAAGAGAGCGGUCCGGUUGAUCUGAGAGAAGGUCAACUGAGACAAGGAAAAAGUGGCAACUACGAGUGGAUGCAAGUUUUAUGAAAACAUGCGAGUGCAAUGCACAUGAUGACAGGAUGAAAUGCAAUAAGCAAACGAAACACAUGACAACAACGAAAAACAUGGAAGCCGCCUGGAGCGUCGGUCCCGGGUCGUUACAACUCUCCUCCGCUUACAAGAGAUCUCGCCCCAAGAUCUAAGGAUGAAAACAGAAGAGUUAGAGAAGAGGUAAAACUAAGUUGCUUCAUUGACAAACGAGUGAAACCAAAUAAACAUGAGAGAUCGCAAAGCUUGAGGAAAUGACACGACGAAGGUGAACAAAAUUUAAAACACUCCGUUCAGCAAGAGUGAGAAGGAACAUUACAAGAACCUUGCAGGUUGAAAGACAUUAGAAAAGGGUUACAAUGGAGAAGAAGUACAUGCAAGCACUCCGGUUGAAAUGAGAUGUACAAGGAACGAUAAAGAAUAAUUACAACAACACUCCGGUUGGAAAUGGUAGGAAUAGAAUAUGAACUUGGCAAAAUGAAAGCACUUGGAUGAGACUCCGGUUAAAAGAGGAAUGAUAGUCACAACAUCCGGUUAAAUUGAUAAACAAUAAAAUCACAUGAUCUUGACAAAACAAGAUGAUGGGUCAAAGAGAGGAACAUCACCAUGCCUCCGAAACGAAAGAAUAGAAAGUAAAUCAUUUGAAGGAAAAGAAAGGGGAAAACUAAAGACAACUUACACCAUAAUUGAGUUGAGAAGCAUACUUGCAAGGAAGGAUUGAACAGAGUUGUUGGAAAUUCAACAACGAAAAGAAUAAGCUUGUUGUGGGCUUAUGGAAAACAUCUCAAAAUUGAGGUGAAAUUCUGUCACUAACGGAAUCAAUUAAUUUGAUUGAGAACACCAAAGAGAUGAAAAACUUCUUCCACCAAGAUGAUAAAGAGAUAACUUGGAUCAUUGAUAAGCACCACAAUUGGCAACAUUCCUUAGGGAAGGAUUUAGGUGACAUAUCUACCAAGAUAACUCCAAUGAGGAGAUUGAUGGAUUUAAAAGAUCUCUUGAACGAAGAGAAAAUGAUGGAUUUAAAUAUCUCAAUCCUGACAACUUGUGAAUCAUGAAACAUGAAGAGAAAUUAUCAAGAAUGAUAUAACACCACCUCAAAAGAUAAAAUAGAAAGAAUUGCACUUUGGAAUGCAAGAUGAAGAAUUCUUGAGCUCCAACAAGAAUCUUGACGAAUACUUCUAUAAUGAAUGCACUCUUUGAUGAACCACCAUGUCGAGCAUUCAUGAAGGACUCCGAUAAUGGAAGGAUUAUAUAAAAGAAUUGAAGGUUGAAAAGAACAAUAAUUGAAGACUUGGAAUGAUUUAUAUGGAGCUUCGUGACGAGACAACCAAGAAAACAUGGAACUCCUGAAAAGAAAGAUGUGCAACUUGAACCAAGAAUUGAUAUCAUGAACGAACUCCAGAAGAAAAGAAUUGAAUCACCUCAAGGAAAACAAGAAUAAGAUUUAAUUUAUGUUUAUCUUUCAUCAACUCAAACUGAUAACAAGCAAUGGGUUUCCCAUACUACGUAUUCUCGUUGAAAGGAUUAAGAGAGAUAUAGCACAAACUUGGGGAAAUCUUGAUCGACUCACCGGUAGGAUUUGAAAAUGAACAUAGCAAAGGGCCGAAUCAUCGGGAAGAAUUAGAAAACAAAUGAAGAUACUUGGGGAAAGUUAGAUACGAGAGAAUGAAGAGAUCAUGAGCUGACUAGGGAAUACUUGAGCGAUGCAUGAUAACCCACAAGUAUACAGGAUCGCAACAGUUUUCGAGGGUAGAGUAUUCAACCCAAAUUUAUUGAUUCGACACAAGGGGAGCCAAAAAAUAUUCUCGAGUAUUAGCAGAUGAGUUGUCAAUUCAACCACACCUGGAAACUUAAUAUCUGCAGCAAAGUGUUUAGUAGCAAAGUAAUAUGAUAGUAGUGGUAACGGUGGUAAAAGGUAACGGUAGGAAAAGUAAUAUUUUUGGUGUUUUGUAGUGAUGAUCACAAUAGCAACGGAAAAGUAAAUAAGCGAAGAACAAUAUAUGGAAAGCUCGUAGGCAUUGGAUCAGUGAUAGAGAAUUAUACCGGAUGCGGUUCAUCAUGUAACAGUCAUAACCUAGGGUGACACAGAACUAGCUCCAGUUCAUCAAUGUAAUGUAGGCAUGUAUUCCGAAUAUAGUCAUACAUGCUUAUGGAAAAGAACUUGCAUGACAUAUUUUGUCCUACCCUCCCGUGGCAGCGGGGUCCUAGCGGAAAAUAAGGGAUAUUAAGGCCUCCUUUUAAUAGAAUACCGGAACAAAGCAUUAAAACAUAGUGAAUAAAUGAACUCCUCAAACUACGGUCAACACCGAUAAGUAUCCCGAUUAUUGUCACUUCGGGGUUAACGGAUCAUAACACAUAAUAGGUGACUAUGGACUUGCAAGAUAGGAUCAAGAACUCUCAUAUAUUGAUGAAAACAUAAUAGGUUCAGAUCUGAAAUCAUGGCACUCGGGCCCUAGUGACAAGCAUUAAGCAUAGCAAAGUCAUAGCAACAUCAAUGUCAGAACAUAGUGGAUACUAGGGAUCAAACUCUAACAAAACUAACACGAUUACAUGAUAAAUCUCAUCCAACCCAUCACCAUCCAGCAAGCCUACGAUGGAAUUACUCACGUAUGGCGGUGAGCAUCAUGAAAUUGGUGAUGGAGGAUGGUUGAUGAUGACGAUGGCGACGGAUUCCCCUCUCCGGAGCCCCGAACGGACUCCAGAUCAGCCCUCCCGAGAGAGUUUAGGGCUUGGCGGCGGCUCUGUAUCGUAAAACGCGAUGAAUCCUUCUCCCUGGCUUUUUUCUCCCCGAAAGUGUAUAUAUGGAGUAAGGGUUGAGGUCGGUGGAGCGUCAGGCGGCCCACGAGGCAGGGGGUGCGCCCAGGGGGUAGGGCGCACCCCCACUGUCGGUGUCAAAACCGGCGGAUCUCGGGUAGGGGGUCCCGAACUGUGCGUCAAGGCCGGAUGGUAACAUGAGACAAGGGACACGAUGUUUUUACCCAGGUUCGGGCCCUCUCGAUGGAGGUAAUACCCUACUCCUGCUUGAUUAAUAUUGAUGAUAUGGGUAGUACAAGAGUAGAUCUACCACGAGAUCAAGGAGGCUAAACCCUAGAAGCUAGCCUAUGGUAUGAUUGUUGUAUAUGGAGUUGAUGUCCUACGGACUACAACCCUAUGGUUUAUAUAGACACCGGAUAGGGUUAGGGUUACACAGAGUCGGUUACAAUGGUAGGAGAUCUUGAAUAUCCGCAUCGCCAAGCUUGCCUUCCACGCCAAGGAAAGUCCCAUCCGGACACGGGACGAAGUCUUCAAUCUUGUAUCUUCAUAGUCCAGGAGUCCGGCUGAAGGUAUAGUCCGGCUACCCGAACACCCCCUAAUCCAGGACUCCCUUAGUAGCCCCUGAACCAGGCUUCAAUGACGACGAGUCCGGCGCGCAGAUUGUUCGGCAUUGCAAGGCGGGUUCUUCUCCAAAUCCUGUGUACCUAUAGGAAUAAUGUCUGAUUUUUGUAAUGUAGUGCUCCUCGGCUUCCACGCCCAAUAAUGGCCGUCUUCCACGUGUCAAACGAAUGCGAAAAGCCGGGGCGUUUUUACAUCCACACCCCUAGCCGUAUAAACGAGCCGCCUAUUUAACGGGAUGGGGAUUUAGGUCCAAACCACAUGUUCUCCUCUCCAUGAGUUAUCAUCAGAGCGCUUCCAGCAAAGGUCCAUUCCAACAUGACCAGCCGUCGCAGCUCCUCCCCUCGCCCCUCCGGUCCCAAACCCGGGGACUGGGAGAGUUGCACCAUCCCGCAUAGCGAGUUAGUGUCGCUUCAGGCCAAGGGAUUUCUCCCUCAGGCAUACAUGGUCCCGGUCCGAGCCAGUCUCGCCACCUACAAUGGCGGAAAACAAGCGGAGAGCACCCCCAAUCCUUCUAAAGGAGAGCGGGUGUGCCUCGUCCCCUAUCUAAUAAGGGGACUGGGAUUUCCAAUUCAUCCAUUUCUCUGCGGGCUUCUGGAGUUCUACGGCCUCCAGCUGCACAAUCUCACGCCCGCCUCCGUAUUACAUAUUGCGGGUUUCGUCGCCCUUUGCGAGCUAAUUUUAGGCGUUGAGGCUCAUUUCACGCUGUGGAAGAGGUUAUUCUGCCUGGUGCCCCGUUCUCAAGAGGGAUCUAUAUACCAAGUGGGCGGAGCCGAAGUAUGGCGCAUCGCCGGGACCGGAUACAUAUCCGGAACCCCAAAGAAGGCGUCCGAGGACUGGCCUUCGGAAUGGUUUUACAUAGAUGACGUCCCGCUACCGGACCCUAUCCGGGUCAGUCUCCCUGAGUUCAACAGUGCUCCAUUGAAGAAACGCUUGAGCUGGCGUCCGUGGAGCUCCCAGAGAGAAAGCGACAGAGACGUCCUUUACUUGAUGGGCCGAAUAAGACUGUUGGCUUAUUUCGGACUAACCAUGAUUGGAGUCAUGGCCGCAUGCAUUAUGCGGGGGGUGCAGCCGCUUCAAUAUAGAGGCCACCCCAUGUGGGAUUUCAACGGGGAGGAUGACGCCACCCGUUACGGUCGUAAGGGGCCGGCCUCAGCCGCUGCCCUAGUAAAGAUCUUAUCCUCUUUGUACAAGGGAGAAAAGGAGGAAUUCCUCCGCGUCAACCCGCGGGCCGGAUUUACUAUGUACGAUCCUCCAAGUUGGGUAAGUGAACAAUUGCGCUUGGCCGUUUGUUUUAUACUCCCACGGUUAGAUAUGUAGUCUAACGACUUCAAUGCAGGAACUGCGACAGGAGGUAAAGGGUAUAAACAACCGCCCUCCACAGCCCGAGGACCCAGAACGGUCCCUCGAUCCGGACUCCGAAGAGGAUCCGGACAUAUCGGUGGAGCUUAUCGACGGGGUGUUCCAUCAGCUAAGCAAGGACAAUUCCUUGGUAGCCAUUACGACUGAUUACCCAGGGUUAAUCCCGGCCUCCCAGGUGACAGAAACCGGAGUCUCAUUCCCUUGAGAGAGAUUCUACUCUCACGUAUUCCGGUGUUUUUGACGACAACCGUGUUUUGCAGGGGAGAUUUUCGAGGCGGGAGGCCGAACCUGCGACGGCUAGCCAACGAGGGGCCGCAGGGCCCUGUGGGGCAAAAAGGAAUGUAGUCCGGACUGAGAUGCCGACGCAAAGGUAUAGCGCACCCUCUGUUUCCCUGGUGUUAUUCUGUCAGGGCAUAUUAACAUUCGUGCUAUCUUCAGAACGAAGAGACCUCGCCGGACUACAUCCAGAGAGGUUGCCAAUCGCACCUCCACCAGCCAGGCUCCAACGUCUGGCCAGGAAGCGGAGGCGAGCACAAGGCGCGCACCGGACGCUCUUCCGACAAAGGAUGCGGACAGGCUGUCUGCCAAAAAUUCUGAAGUGGAGAGUGCCAUGAACCACAGGCAUCGCCGGACAGUUCUAUGCGACGCUUGUUUCUCCCAAGAGGCUUUAGAUGCCUUUAAUUCGGGAGAUGCGUACCUCCGUGCCGCUCAAAAUGGUUUAGUCAGAGCCACGGAGCAGUAUGUAAAAGACAUACGGGUAAGAAAAUUUUGGUCAAAUAUAUAUAUACCAGUAGCCCCCGAGACUUGAAACAGUUAGAGCAACUGAUUUAAGGAUCAUUUAAUAUGCAGGUUCUUACAGAGAAGAAUACCGUACUGUCCCAGGAGCUGGAAAAGUGCAAGGCCCAACUAGAGGCCGCACAAGCCGCAGCAGGGGAGCCCAAAGAGACCACCUCAGGUAAGAUACACUUCGAAAGAUUAGUAUUGUGCGGUGUGGGUGCAAAUCUGACAAAUCAUAUUGCAGAUGGCGCCGGACUCGAUCCGGAAAAGCAACAACUCUUACGCCGGCUAAAGGCCGGUGAGAGUACGUUGACAAAAGUGAGGCGAGAGAAGAAUGAUCUUCAGGAUGCCAACACCAAGCUGGACAUCAAACUUAAAGAUGUUCGUGGCCAGCUGUCGGACUCCACGAAGCAGAAUCAGCGGCUUUGACGCGGCAUAUUUAGUAAGUGCUUCAACGAACUUUGAAAAAAAAGUUCGGCGAGGAAGUCGACUAAUAGAGUAAUGUCUGUAGGUAUGCUCACAUGUCGUCCUGCAGAGGAGAUGCCCGGUUCUACGGGUGACCUUCUUCCCGAACUCUUGCGACUCCACGAGCGAAUUCGGCAGGCGAUGCGAGGCGUUGCCCAAGCCUUAUGGCCUGCCCACUCCAUGCCCGAGGGCCUUGGAGAGCUUCCGGAGAAGCUGAAGGGAGCUCGGCGGCGCUUCCGGUUGUGGAAGAUAUCGGCCUGCCGACAAGGCGCUAGGGAGGCCUGGGCCAUGGUGAAGACCCGUUUUACGAAGUCUGACCCAAACCACAUGGCCGAGGUCGGACCAGUGGGGCCUGACGGGAAGGAGAUCCCUGUAAGCUUAGUAUACGGCCAAGUAGAAUUGGCCGCGAAGUAUUCCCAGCAGGAUUAUAAAUUAGAUAGCCUGUUAGAUGGUAUAGAAGAGGAAUACAAUCAGUCAGAAUGACUAUGUAAUUUUGAAUUGACAUGUGUAAUGCCUUCUAGCCGGAUUGUAGAUCGUUUGUCGUUGCCGACCUUUUCGCUUCAACCUCGGGACCUGACGGUCCGGAGUGUGUCCGAAUACCGUAGCGGUUAUAUAAGAACCGGGGUAUGCGUGGAGACCAGGCGUAGGGGUCAUUAGUGCUUUAUCAGACAAGUGCCCAACUAGUUAUGUUAUAUUACAUGGUUAGUAAGAAACAUCUUCCAGAGAGAAUAGUUCCGUUAGGGGUUCCUUUCGCUGGGAGGCAUGCCCUAAAGUGCAUGUCCAGACUGCGUGAAAAGAUGCAGAAAAAAGCAUCUGGGGGCGCAUAAAAUGAGUAAAAAAGAUCAUCUUUUAUUUCACCGACCGAAUAUUCCCUUAAGAACGCUAGCUUUCGGCUUCACCCAGUCUGAAGUACACAUCCGGCUGACCCGGCAGUAACAAUCGCAGAGGUGCUCCCUUUACCGCCUAGCCGAACAAUCGGGAACGUAGGGGUAAGCACAGGAGCCAGGCAACCCAGCUUGGCCAAAACUUAAGUCAUAUCGAUGCAUAUAAUGGUGAAGAAAAAGGUACAUGCAGAAGCUUGACGCAUGUGUUGGGCGUGAAGCCCGUAUAAAUAAGCUUCUGUUAAAGAAGCCCCCAGGUUUAAUAAGCGCGAGUGGCGCGUCACUAGAUGAGCCUUUAAGGGCUAUAAAAGAAAAGAGGUGAAGGAGAGAAAUGUAAGACAGAAAAAUGCAAAAAAUGGACAGAGGAAGGAGACGAACACAGAGUCUGGCGCUAGGCAUAGAAUCUUCGGAGACGGGUGGCGUUCCACGGGUUCGGCUCGAGUCGGUUAUCCAACGCAUCUCGCAGGCUGUAUGCCCCACCAGUCAGGACUUGGUCGAUUAUGAAUGGACCUUACCACUUGAGCUUGAGUUUGUCCUUUUUCUUAUCCGGCAGGCGUAGAACUAGUUCGCCAUCAUUGUAAUUUUUGGCCCGUACUUCUCUACUUUGAUAUCUUCGGGCCUACUGUUGAUAAAAUGUGGAACGGGCUUUUGCCACGUCACGCUCCUCCUCCAAGGCGUCCAAGUUGUCCUGCCGAUCGAGCUCGGCUUCUCUUUCUUCGUACAUGCGCACUCUAGGUGAGUCAUGAAUUAUGUCGCAGGGCAGAACUGCCUCUGCGCCAUACACCAUAAAAAAUGGUGUGUAUUCGGUGGUGCGAUUUGGCAUGGUCCACAACCCCCAUAGCACGGAGUCGAGCUCCUCUACCCAGUGCGUUUUAGAUUCCUUGAGGGACCGCACCAGUCUAGGUUUAAUGCCACUCAUGAUAAGACCAUUUGCACGUUCGACUUGGCCGUUGGUUUGUGGGUGAUAGACGGAAGCAUAAUCGAGCUUGAUGCCCAUGUUUUUGCACCAGAGUUUUACCUCGUCGGCGGUAAAGUUUGUACCGUUAUCGGUUAUGAUGCUGUGGGAGACGCCAUAACGGUGUACAACCCCGGAUAUGAAGUCUAUCACAGGUCCGGAUUCGGCCGUUUUAACAGGCUUGGCUUCUAUCCAUUUGGUGAACUUAUCCACCAUGACCAGUAAGUAUUUUUUCCUAUGGGUCCCACCUUUAAGGGGUCCGACCAUGUCAAGGCUCCAGACCGCAAAAGGCCAGGUGAUGGGUAUAGUUUGGAGUGCGGUGGGUGGCAUAUGGCUUUGGUUGGCAAAAAGUUGGCAACCAACGCAUCGUUGGACUAGGUCCUGAGCGUCUGCCCGGGCCGUCGGCCAAUAAAAGACUGUACGGAAAGCCUUGCUAACAAGGGACCGAGCAGCGGCGUGGUGACCACUGAGUCCAGCAUGAAUUUCAGCCAGAAGGAUCCGCCCUUCCUCUUCGGAGAUGCACCUUUGAAGGACUCCGGUAGUGCUUUUCUUAUAAAGCUCUCCCUCAUGGACUCUAUAGGCUUUAGAUCGCCGCACUAUGCAGCGGGCCUUGUUUUGGUCCUCCAGGAGUUCCUGCCUAGUAAGGUAGGCUAGGAAUGGUUCUGUCCACGAGGCGAUAACUGCCAUUAUUACGCGGGCUGAAGGUGUAAUCUCAUUGGCAGAGCCUCCAAUUAUGUCAGAUUGUUCGGCGUCGGGUGGUGCGGCUGGGUCCGGGCUGUUAUUUGCGGGUUCCCCCUCCCAUGCUACGGAUGGCUUGAACAAUCUUUCCAAAAAGAUGUUGGGGGGGAAUGCAUCGCGUUUUGCUCCGAUGCGUGCCAGGACGUCCGCUGCUUGAUUGUUUUCUCGGGCUAUAUGGUGAAACUCCAGCCCUUCGAACAGAGCUGACAUUUUUAGGACGGCGUUGUGGUAAGCUGCCAUUUUUGGGUCCUUGGCGUCGAAGUCUCCAUUUAUUUGGGAUAUCGCGAGGUUCGAAUCCCCGCGUACCUCUAGGCGCUGGAUACCCAUGGAUACUGCUAUCCGGAGACCAUGUAGGAGGGCCUCAUAUUCGGCUGCAUUGUUGGAAUCCGUGUACAUGAUCUGAAGCACAUAUUGGACUGUGUCUCCUGUGGGGGACGUCAGGACGACGCCAGCCCCCACUCCGGCCAACAUUUUGCAGCCGUCGAAAUGCAUAAUCCAGUUUGAAUAUGUGCCGUACUCUUUAGGGAGCUCGGCCUCCGUCCAUUCUGCGACGAAGUCGGCCAAAACUUGCGAUUUAAUAGCUCGCCGUGGCUUAUAGGUUAUAUCGAACGGGAGAAGCUCGAUGGCCCAUUUUGCAAUCCGGCCUGUUGCGUCGCGGUUGUUGAUAAUAUCGUUGAGUGGUACUUCCGAGGCUACUGUUAUGGAACACUCUUGAAAGUAGUGUCGUAGCUUCCGGGAUGCCAUGAAUACCGCGUAUGCAAUCUUUUGAUAAUGCGGGUACCGUGAUUUGCAUGGAGUGAGGAUAGUGGACACGUAGUAGAACGGCCUUCGAAGGGGGAAUUUAUGUCCAUCCGUUUCCCGCUCGACAACGAGCACUGCGCUGACAACUUGAUGUGUUGCUGCAAUGUACAAUAACAUUGGUUCGCCGGUGUUCGGCGCGGCCAGGACUGGGUUUGUUGCCAAUAUGGCUUUUAUUUCAUCAAGUCCGGCCGUGGCGGCAUCCGUCCACUCGAAGUGUUCGGUGCGCCGAAGGAGGCGAUAGAGGGGUAGUGCCUUUUCUCCCAAGCGGGAGAUGAAGCGGCUUAAAGCCGCCAUGCAUCCGGUUAAUUUUUGUAUUUGUUUGAGGUCCUUUGGGGUAUCCAAUUGUGACAAAGCUUGGAUCUUGGCUGGAUUUGCUUCAAUUCCUCUACCGGAUACAAUGAAGCCCAAGAGCUUUCCGGCUAGAACGCCGAAGACGCAUUUUUCCGGGUUGAGCUUGAUGUCAUAUUUUCGGAGGUUAUCGAAUGUAAGCCUCAAGUCGUCUACUAGAGAUUCGACAUGUCUUGAUUUGACGACCACAUCAUCCACAUACGCCUCCACUAUUUUGCCGAUCUGGUUUGCCAGACAUGUCUGGAUCAUGCGCUGAUAUGUUGCGCCGGUGUUUUUCAGCCCGAAGGGCAUUGUGUUGAAGUAGAAUGGGCCGUAUGGUGUGAUGAAUGCUAUUGCGGCUUGGUCUGAUUCUGCCAUCUUGAUUUGAUGGUAACCGGAGUAUGCGUCGAGGAAACACAACGAAUCGUGUCCUGCGGUGGCAUCGAUAAUUUGAUCGAUACGGGGGAGGGGGAAGGGAUACUUUGGGCAAGCCUUGUUAAGGUCUUUAAAAUCGACACACAGGCGCCAGGAUUUCUCCUUCUUUGGUACCAUCACCAGGUUUGCUAGCCAGUCCGGAUGUUUUAUGUCUCUAAUGAAUCUGGCCUCCAAUAGCUUGGCUAGCUCCUCUCCCAUAGCCUGUCUCUUGGGUUCGGAAAAACGCCGAAGGGCUUGUUUGACAGGUUUGAAUCCUUUUAGGAUAUUUAAGCUGUGUUCGGCCAGCCUGCAUGGGAUCCCUGGCAUGUCUGAAGGGUGCCAGGCGAAAAUGUCCCAGUUCUCUCGUAGGUGCUCUCGCAGUGCGGCAUCUACAUCAGGGUUCAGUCGUGCCCCGAUGGAAGCUGUUUUAUUGGGGUCCGUUGGAUGGACCUGGAAUUUGACUAUUUCGUCAGCUGGCUUGAAGGAUGUGGAUUUGGAUCUCUUGUCGAGUAUCACAUCGUCCCUGUUAACCGUGGAGCGCAGCGCAGUCAGUUCCUCGCCCCCUAAGGCUUCGGAUAGUGCCUCAAGGGCUAAUGCGGCCGUCUUGUUUUUGGCGCGGAGUGCUAUGUUCGGAUCACUAGCUAGAGUGAUAAUUCCGUUCGGCCCGGGCAUCUUAAGCUUCAUGUACCCGUAAUGGGGUAUUGCUUGGAAGACUGUGAAUGCUUCCCGCCCUAGUAAAGCGUGAUAUCCGCUUUUGAACGGGGCCACCUGAAACGUGACUUCUUCGGACCUGUAAUUAUCCGGCGUGCCGAACACCACAUCUAGUGUGAUUUUUCCUGUGCAGAGCGCUUCCCGACUGGGGAUUAUUCCUCUAAAGGUUGUGCUGCUUCGCUCGAUGCGGUUCCAGUCUAUUUCCAUUUUUUGAAGGGUUUCCUCAUAAAUGAGGUUCAGUCCGCUGCCUCCAUCCAUGAGCACCUUGGUGAGGCAAAAGCUGUCCACUAUGGGACUGAGGACCAAUGCGGCUGGUGCUCGGGCUGUUCAGAAUCUAGGUUCAUCACUUGUGUUGAAGGUAAUAGCAGUGUCGCUCCAUGGAUUUAUUGCAACUUGAUAGACUUCGGCGAGGCUGCGGAGUGUUCUUUUUCACAUAUUGUUUGAUGCGAAAGUCUCGAAGACUGUGAGAACGGUACUGGUGUCCUCAGGCUGGCUUUCUGCGACCUCCAGAAUUAAGAGGUCCUCGCCAAUUUUGGCCACCUGCCGGAGUAUCCAACAUGCUCUAAGGCUGUGACUUGGUGUGGCGUCCUCUGUACUGUGAAUUCUACAGGGUCCAUCAAGCCACCUUUCUAGUAUGGUUCCAUGCCCUGUAGAGGGUUUUGGCUUUUUGGUGCAUAUCCCGGGUGUCCUAUAAUGAUGCGCCCUCUUAGUUCGGACGGGAUUACUAUUCAAGGCCGGAUUAUCCCAAAAUUUUAUUUCGGUUUUCUAGGCGCUUUCCAUCGCACAGUACUUUUGUACUACGGACGCCAAGUCAGCGAAGCGUGUAAUAUAACGACGACUUACGGCGUUAAGGAUUCCCUCGUCCAUGCAUUUACUGCAGAAAAUUGAGAUUGCAUCUCCCUCGCGGCAAUCCUUUAUCCUGUUCAUAACCAGGAGGAAUCUGGCCCAGUAAUGAUGUACUAUUUCCUCGUGCGUCUGCCUGAUUUGGGAGAGAUCGCUUAUGUUCGGGUGGGCGGGUGUCGUUGAAUCUGAAACCUCACCUAAUCCAAGAUUUGGAGGCCGAAGAGUUUCUGAACUCUGAAGUUCGGAUUCUUGGAUGUUGUCCAAUGAAUCUAGCCCGUUGCCUGAUCCUAAGCUUAGGUCUUGAGUUACAUCCUCCCCUCCGCUGGUAUCCGGCUUGGAGGGGUCGGGAAUUCGGACGUAGCUAGUCCUUAAGAUAGAUGAAGGGUCGCCGCACUGCGCCUUUGCCACGGCAACAUGGUGGGUGACUUGGGGAGAGUUAAUUUCUCUUAGAUCGGGUUUAAGCCCAACCUGGUCGUAAUCCGUAGCGACCCCCAGGGCGGUGAUGCGAUCCAAGAGCUCGUUUACGGAAGAGAGCUCCAUUGGAUCUAGCUGCUCGAUGAGCUCUAAGCUGACGUGUAGGUUGCUUUUGAUGACCCGAGAGGUCACCGUCGACGCAACAGCCGAACAUGCGGUCAUGAGGAAACCACCUAGCCGGAGAGUUUGGCCGACAGCCAGGGCUCCCUUAGCAACGGCGCCGUCUUUAAAGAUGGGAGGAGGCAUCCUUCCUGAUUGCGACGACACAGAGGAACUCUCAAUGAAAGCACCAAUGUCGGUGUCAAAACCGGCGGAUCUCGGAUAGGGGGUCCCGAACUGUGCGUCAAGGUCGGAUGGUAACAGGAGACAAGGGACACGAUGUUUUUACCCAGGUUCGGGCCCUCUCGAUGGAGGUAAUACCCUACUCCUGCUUGAUUAAUAUUGAUGAUAUGGGUAGUACAAGAGUAGAUCUACCAUGAGAUCAAGGAGGCUAAACACUAGAAGCUAGCCUAUGGUAUGAUUGUUGUAUAUGGAGUUGAUGUCCUACGGACUACAACCCUCCGGUUUAUAUAGACACCGGAUAGGGUUAGGGUUACACAGAGUCGGUUACAAUGGUAGGAGAUCUUGAAUAUCCGCAUCGCCAAGCUUUCCUUCCACUCCAAGGAAAGUCCCAUCCGGACACGGGACGAAGUCUUCAAUCUUGUAUCUUCAUAGUCCAGGAGUCCGGCUGAAGGUAUAGUCUGACUACCCGAACACCCCCUAAUCCAGGACUCCCUCACCCACCCUCGUGGACAGGUGGAGCCCCCCCUGAUGUGGAUCUUCCUUCCAGUAUUUUUUAUAUAUGCCAAAAUAAUUCUCCGUUGAUUUUCAGGUCAUUCCGAGAACUUUUAUUUCUGCACAAAAAUAACACCAUGGCAAUUCUACUGAAAACAUCGUCAGUCCGGGUUAGUUCCAUUCAAAUGAUGCAAAUUAGAGUCCAAAACAAGGGAAAAAGUGCUUGGAAAAGUAGAUACGAUGGAGACGUAUCAACUCCCCCAAGCUUAAACCUUUGCUUGUCCUCAAGCAAUUCAGUUGAUACAAUGAAAGUGAUAAAGAAAAACUUUUACAAACUCUGUUUGCUCUUGUUGUUGUAAAUAUGUAAAGCCAGCAUUUAAGUUUUUAGCAAAGAUUAUGAACUAACCAUAUUCACAAUAACAUUUAGGUCUCAUGUUUAUUCAUAUCAAUAGCAUAAUCAACUAGCGAGCAAUAAUAAUAAAUCUCGGAUGACAACACUUUCUCGAAAAAAUCAUGAUAUGAUAUAACAAGAUGGCAUCUCGCUAGCCCUUUCUGAGAUCGCAAAACAUAAAUGCAGAGCACCUUUAAAGAUCAAGGACUGACUAUACAUUGUAAUUCAUGGUAAAAGAGAUCCAGGCAAGUCAUACUCAAUGUAAACUAACAGUAAUGAAUGCAAAUGACAGUGGUGCUCUCCAACUGCUGCUUUUUAAAUAGAUAGGCCCUUCGCAGAGGGAAGCAGGGAUUUGUAGAGGUGCCAAAGCUCAGUUUUGAAAUAGAUAUGAAUAAUAUUUUGAGCGGUAUACUUUCAUCGUCAACAUAACAACCGAGAGAUGGCGAUAUCUUCCAUGCUACACACAUUAUAGGCGGUUCCCAAACAGAAUGGUAAAGUUUAUACUCCCCCUCCACCAACAAGCAUCAAUCCAUGGCUUUCUCGAAACAACGAGUGCCUCCAACUAACAAGAGUCCCGGGGGAGUUUUGUUUGCAGUUAUUUUGAUUUGAUUUGCAUAAAGCAUGGGACUGGGCAUCCCGGUGACCAGCCAUUUUCUUGUGACUGAGGAGCGGAGUCCACUCCUCUUCAGAAUAACCCGCCUAACAUGGAAGAUACGGACAUCCCUAGUUGAUACAUGAGCUAUUUGGGCAUACAAAACAAAAUGUUUAUUUGAAGGUUUAUAGUUAGGCACAUACAAAUUUACUUGGAACGGCAGGUAGAUACCGUAUAUAGGUAGGUAUGGUGGACUCAUAUGGAAUAACUUUGGGGUUUAUGGGAUUGGAUGCACAAGCAGUAUUCCCGCUUAGUACAAGUGAAGGCUAGAAAAAGACUGGGAAGCUACCAGCUAGAGAGCCACAAUAGUCAUGAACAUGCAUUAAAAUUAAUCAACACCGAAUGCAAGCAUGAGUAGGAUAUAAUGCACCAUGAACAUAAAUAUCGUAGAGGCUACGUUGAUUUUGUUUCAACUACAUGCGUGAGCAUGUGCCAAGUCAAGCCACUCGAAUCGUUCAAAAGAGGAUACCACCCUAUCAUACCACAUCACAACCAUUUUAAUAGCAUGUUGGCACGCAAGGUAAACCAUUAUAAGCUCCUAGCUAAUUAAGCAUUGCAUAAGCAACUAUAAUCUCUAAUUGUCAUUGCAAACAUGUUUAUUCAUAAUAGGUUGAAUCAAGAACGAUGAACUAAUCAUAUUUACAAAAACAAGAGAGGUCGAGUUCAUAACAGCUUUUCUCAUCUCAAUAAGUUCAUCACAUAAUCAUCAUUAUUGCCUUUCACUUGCACGACCGAAUAGUGUGGAUAAUAAUAAUAGUGCAUGUGCAUUGGACUAAGCUAGAAUCUGCAAGUAUUCAAUUCAAGAGAGAAGAUAGGGUAAUAUGGGCGCUUUGUCAGAUCAACAAUAAUGCAUAUAAGAGCCACUCACCAUUUUCAUUAUGGUCUUCUCCUCUCGACCCCCAAAUAACAAGAAAAGAAAUAAAACUAUUUACACGGGAAAGCUCCCAACAUGCAAAAGAAGAAGGAGAAAUCUUUUUGGGUUUUCUUUUUAAUUAUUACUACUACAGCAUGAAAAGUAAACUAGCUAAAAACUACAACUAUUUUUUUUUUGUUUUUCUUAAGGUUUAUUAAACACACAAGAAGAAAGCAUAAAAAGGAAAAUAAACUAGCAUGGAUGAUACAGUGAAAAAGUAUGAGCACCGACAACUAGCAAAAAGUGUGUGAACAUGAAUGUAAUGUCGGUGAGAAAUACGUACUCCCCCAAGCUUAGGCUUUUGGCCUAAGUUGGUCUAUGGCCACGGCUGGCCUGGCGGAUAUCCAAAGUUGUAGCUGGGGUCGUAUUGAGAUGCAUCAGCUAUUACCUCGUGAGCUUCCGCUUAGAGACGGGCCGACUCUGUCCUCCUCUUGUACUCGUCCGCCUCCUCCCUGGUUAUAAUAUAUCUCCCUUUUGCCUGAGAGUCAAAGAAAGCGGGAGCAGGGAGAGCGGCAUGAUUGGUGCGUCGUCUGUCAAAGAUUAGUCGGUACUGGAGGAUCUGAUCGUUCCUCUCAACAAAUUGAUGACGAACCAUGGACACAUAAUCUAAAUAAACAGGAGGCUACUCAAUAUCAUGCCCACAUAUGGGUAUAUCAAGAAAAUUAGCUAGACGGGUUGCAUAAAUUCCGCUAAAGAAAUCUCCAUGAAAACGAUUAUUAUGCAACCUACAUGCAACGAUAGCCCCCAAGUUGUAUUAUUUAUCUCCUAAAAUAGCGCCUCUGAGAACGCUAAGAUCAGGCACACAUAUGUGACAUGCUUCAUCUUUACCAUUAAUGCAUCUACCUAUGAAGAGAGAGAAAUAUUGUAUAGCAGGAAAAUGAAUGCUCCCUAUGGUAGCUUGUGUUAUAUCUCUAGAUUCCACCACACUUAUACUAGCAAGGAAAUCUCUAAACUCAGAUUUGCGAGGCUCACUAGUGCUGCCCCAUUGUGGAAGUUUGCAAGCAGUAUUAAAAUGAGAGAAUUCCUUAUUUAACACCAUGUCUAAAUUUUAUUCCCUAUUUAACAUCGACAAAUCAUUUCUUCCCUAUCUAACAACAAGUCUAAAUUUUAUGCCUUUUAUAACACUUCUGUCCAUUUUAAGUCUAAAUGACACCUAAAAAGAGUAUUUUGCCCUCGUGUGGUAUGUUUGUGUGCUUGCAUGUGUGUCGUUGCGUGUGUGUGCACGCACGCAUGUCUGUCCUACUGUGUGUGUCCUGCUGCGCGUGUAUGUUUGCUAUUGUGUGCAUUGGCGGAGCUAAGGAAUUACCAAAGCAGUACUAAGGAAAACCCUAGUAGUAGCGCGGGGUAAUUGCUAGUAGUAGCGCGGGGGGCUGCGCUACUGCUAGGGCGCUACAGCUAACUUUUAGCAGUAGCGCUGGUGGUACCCGCGCUACUGCUACUUAUAGUAGUAAUAGCGCGGUUGCUACCCGCGCUACUACUACUUAGUUGUAGCGCGGGUCAAAGCCCCUCGCUACUACUAACUAAUUCAGAAUUAAAAAAAUCAAUUGCAGCCAUGGCGGCUGCUUCUACUCAGCGUCAUCGUCCUCUCCAUUCAUGGCUGCUACUGGUCCUGGAGGGGAUGAUGUUGUUCGUGGUGAUGGUGCUUCCCCACCCAACUUGUGCCCGCAGCUCUCGUCUACUGCUGCUACAAAAGAAGAGAAAUUUAUUAGAAAGAGGAAGAGAGAGAUAGAGAGCAGUAGGAGGAGGAACUCACCGGUGGCCGCCGGAGUUGGUGCCGACGCCCGAAACCCUAGAUGAAUCUCGGUGACCUACUGCUGCUUGUCGUGGGACCCUUGACCCAGUGAGGAGGUGCAAGUGUUUGCAUCCAUGGCGGAUCUGGCCGCCACCAUGUGGAUGACGCUCUGCUGGUUUCUCUCUCCUUCCAACAGCGGAGAAGAAGGAGGAUGGAGGGGUAGGGGAGGGGUCUGCGGGAAGAGGUCGCCAGAUUUGGAGGGGCGCCGAGGUGUGAGGCCAGCAGUGGUGGUAGGCGAGGAAGGGAAUGGCGAGUGGGAGGAGAAAGGGAAUCAGAAGAGUGUGGGUUUGGAUUUUGGCCUCCGCACGCUAUGUCUACAUAUGUCUUCAUGGGUCGAUAGUAGUAGCGCGGUUUUAUAGCCCUCGCUACUACUAUGGCAUGUCCCGGGUGGGCACAGUAGAGAUUACUUAGUAGUAGCGAGGGUUAUAAACCCGUGCUACUACUAUCAACUUAGUAGUAGCGCGGGUUUAUACCCCUCGCUACUACUAUGGCAUGUUCCGGGGGGCACGGCAGAGACCACUUAGUAGUAGCGAGGGUUAUAAACCCGCGCUACUACUAUCAACUUAGUAGUAGCGAGGGCUAUAAACCCGCGCUACUAGUAAGUAGCAGCAGCGAGGGGUAUAAACCCACGCUACUAGUAAGCGUCUGUCUAUAAGCUUUUCCCUAGUAGUGAAGCCUGGGCAUGCCACAAGUUAAAGUUUGUUUUUUUCCUACCCAAAACCACAACGUCAGUAGUAUACACUUAUACUAUACUAAAUACUGGAACUGACUAAACAGGUCCUGUUGGAGGAUCGCUGCCUUGGCCAUCGCCCUUGCGCUUCUGAUCAUGACAGUCGCUCGCCAAAGUUGAGGCCAUGCGCACGCCAUCUCUCCUCCUGAGCGCCGAUGCUCUUCAACACUCAAAACUCUGCUGGUGGUCAGUCUACCUCUGAGGCUGGAGUAGCUAGGGCACCUAAGCAAGCAAGUGAGUCGAUCAAUUAAGCUUUAAGUUUCACAAGCUGGACCAAUUUGCCUUCUGGAGAAUUUGACGAGCGCUAUGGCUAUGAGCCAUGUUAGAAAAGAGUAUAAUAAUAGGCAGGCAAAUGUCCAAAACAGGCCCAGAAAGAUUAGUUCGUACGUCUCCGGGGAAUUCUUGUGAUUUUACAGCAUAUUUAACCAAUUUUCUUGAAUGCGAAGGCUUCAGCGGCUUGCCUAAGUUCUGAUAAGUGGCGCUGACAAGCUCGGAUACAUGCCCAGGGUGCCCUGACGGUAAAAUCGUCCCUGACUGCGUGUGUAUGUGUGUGUGUUGUUGGGUGUCUGCGCUGCGUGCGUCCGUACUGCUGCCUGCAUGCUUGUGUGCGGGUGCAUGUGUGUGUGCAUGUGUUGCUGCCCUCACACUUAUGAUGCGUGUGUGCUACUGUCCCGCACACACAAUACCACGUGAGGGGCAAAAUGGUCUUUUCAGAUGUUAUUUAGGCUCAAAAUGGAUGAAAGUGUUAUAAAAGGCAUAAAAUUUAGACUCAUUGUUAGAUAGGGAAGAAAAAAAUUUAGUGUUAAAUAAGGAAACAAUAUUUAAGAUAGUGUUAAAUAAGGAAUUGUUUCUAUUAAAAUUCUCUAUGUCCAUAGUAUAAGAAUUUUCAUAAAGAUCAAACAGGACAGUUUGAGAAUUGCGUGAUGAUGAAAAUUCAAACCUCCUCACAAAGGAAUCAGUGAGAUAGUGGUACUGGCAACACUUAUCUGCCUCGAAGCUCUCAAGAUCAACAUUACACACAUAUGCGUUAAAUUCUUCCUUGAUUCCUGCUCGAUCCAUAAAGUCCUCUGAAGGCCAUUCACAAGCCCGCACUUGAGCUUCCCUCAGUGGUUCAUCAUUGGCAUCGCGUAUUGCGAGCCUGGGUCCUUCCUUCCUUGAAGGGCCACCUUGGUACAUUUUCCUAAACAUAUUUUUUCCACUGAAAAAUUUCUAAAAUUUUAGUAACUUCAAAAUAAAAGUGAAGCAAACUCAACAAUAUUGAUAGCAACUACUCCUACAAGUGCCUAGAGGCAAUAUCAUGCAUCAAAACUACUUUUGACCACAUAAAUUUGACAUGCAAGCUCAAGAACAGGGUCACCUAAGCAGCAAAAAUAUGCAAUGAAUAAAGCUUUAAUACCUUUUUAUUCCAUAGAUUUCUUUGCCUCUUGCAUAUCUUCAGGACUGAGAAAUAGAAUACCCAUUUUCCUCAGGGUUGGUUUAGGAGUUGAUUUAGGAAUUGGAUUAGGAAGUGUCCAAUUAUUUUCAUUAGUCAACAUAUUAUUCAAUAGAAUUUCAGCUUCUUCUGGUGUUCUUUCCCUGAAAACACAACCAACACAACUAUCCAGGUGGUCUUUGGAAGCAUCAGUUAGUCCAUUAUAAAAGGUAUCAUGUAUUUCAUUUUUCUUAAGAGGAUGAUCAGGCAAAGCAUUAAGUAAUUGGAGAAGCCUCCCCCAAGCUUGUGGGAGACUCUCUUCUUAAAGUUGCACAAAAUUAUAUAUUCCCUUAAAGAAGCUUGUUUCUUAUGAGAGGGGAAAUAUUUAGCAGAGAAGUAAUAAAUCAUAACCUGGGGACUACGCACACAACCAGGAUCAAGAGAAUUAAACCACAUCUUAGCAUCACCCUUUAAUGAGAACGGAAAUAAUUUAAGGAUAUAAUAAUAGCGAGUUUUCUCGUCAUUAGUGAACAGGGUGGCUAUAUCAUUUAAUUUAGUAAGAUGUGCCACAACAGUUUCAGAUUCAUAGCCAUAGAAAGUAUCUGAUUCAAACAAAGUAAUUAUCUCAAGAUCAACAGAGAAAUCAUAAUCCUUAUCAGUAACAAAGAUAGGUGAAGUAGCAUAAGCAGGACCAUAUUUCAUUCUAGCAUUCAGAGUUUUUUUCUUUUAGCUUAGCUAAUAAUUUCUUAAGAUCACUCCUAUCAUUGCAAGCAAGAAAAUCUCUAGCAGUUUCUUCAUCCAUAACAUCCCUCAGGCACAACAGGUAAUUCAUAUCUAGGGGGGCAGUCUUCAUCAUCACUUUCAUCAAUAUUAUCAGUUUCAAUAAUUUCAUUCUCUGUAGCCCUAGCAAGUUGUUCAUCAAGAAAUUCACCAAGUGGCAUAGUAGUAUUAAGCAUAGAAGUAGUUUCAUCAUAAGUAUCAUGCAUAGCAGAAGUGGCAUCAUCAAUAACAUGCGACAUAUCAGAAUUAAUAGCAGGAGCAGGUUUAGGUGUCGCAAGCUUACUCAAAAUAGAAGGUGAAUCAAGUGCACAGCUAGAUGGCAGUUCCUUACCUCCCCUCGUAGUUGAGGGAUAAAUCUGGGUUCUUGGAUCUUUGAAGUUCUUCAUAAUGACAAGGAGAUAUAAAUCCCAAGUGACUCAAAGAAUAUAGCUAUGCUCCCCGGCAACGGCUCCAGAAAAUAGUCUUCAUAACCCACAAGUAUAGGGGAUCGCAACAGUUUUCGAGGAUAGAGUAUUCAACCCAAAAUUAUUGAUUUGACACAAGGGAAACCAAAGAAUAUUCUCAAGUAUUAGCAGCUGAGUUGUCAAUUCAACCACACCUGGAAACUUAAUAUCUGCAACAAAGUGUUUAGUAGCAACGUAAUAUGAUAGUAGUGGUAACGGUGGUAAAAGUUAACGAUAGCAAAAGUAAUAUUUUUGGUGUUUUGUAGUGAUGAUAACAAUAGCAACGGUAAAGUAAAUAAGCGAAGAACAAUAUAUGGAAAGCUCGUAGGCAUUGGAUCGGUUAUAGAGAAUUAUGCCGGAUGCGGUUCAUCAUGUAACGGUCAUAACCUAGGGUGACACAGAACUAGCUCCAGUUCAUCAAUGUAAUGUAGGCAUGUAUUCCGAAUAUAGUCAUACGUGCUUAUGGAAAAGAACUUGCAUGACAUCCUUUGUCCUACCCUCUCGUGGCAGCGGGGUCCUAGCGGAAACUAAGGGAUAUUAAGGCCUCCUUUUAAUAGAUUAUCGGAACAAAGCAUUAACACAUAGUGAAUACAUGAACUCCUCAAACUACGGUCAUAACCGGUAAGUAUCCCGAUUAUUGUCUUGCAAGAUAAUAACACAUAAUAGGUGACUAUAGACUUGUAAGAUAGGAUCAAGAACUCUCAUAUAUUGAUGAGAACAUAAUAGGUUCAGAUCUGAAAUCAUGGCACUUAGGCCCUAGUGACAAGCAUUAAGCAUAGCAAAGUCAUAGCAACGUCAAUCUCAGGACAUAGUGGAUAGUAGGGAUCAAACCUAACAAAACUAACCCGAUUACAUGAUAAAUAUCAUCCAACCCAUCACCGUCCAGCAAGCCUACGAUGGAAUUACUCAUGCACGGCGGUGAGCAUCAUGAAAUUGGUGAUGGAGGAUGGUUGAUGAUGACGAUGGCGACGGAUUCCCCUCUCCAGAGCCUCAAACGGACUCGAGACCAGCCCUCCCAAGAGAGUUUAGGGCUUGGCGCCAGCUACGUAUCGUAAAACGCAAUGAAUCCUUCUCCCUACUUUUUUUCUCCCCGAAAGUGAAUAUAUGGAGUCACGGUUGAGGUCGGUGGAGCGUCAGGGGGCCCACGAGGCAGGGGCGCGCCCAGGGGGUUGGACGUGCCCCCACCCUCUUGGACAGGUGGAGGCCCCCUGACAUGGAUCUUCCUUCCAGUAUUUUUUAUAUAUUCCAAAAUAAUUCUCCAUUGAUUUUUAGGUCAUUCCGAGAACUUUUCUUUCCGCACAAAAAUAAUACCAUGGCAAUUUUGCUGAAAACAGUGUCAGUCCGGGUUAGUUCCAUUCAAAUCAUGCAAGUUAGAGUUCAAAACAAGGGAAAAAGUGUUUGGAAAAGUAGAUACGACGGAGACGUAUCAAUGCACUGGUAAGAUUUGGAGAGCGAGAGAUGAAAGCUGUGAAUAAAUGAUUCUGAGAUGAUGGGCUCCAGAGAAUCAAACGGAAAAGACUUCUGAAUUGCUCCGGAUGGGUGAAAAUAAUUCUCAUGAUCGAAAACAAUUAUGAGAGGAUGGCAUAAAGCUAGAACUACAACCAUGAAUCUUCAAGAGAAUGGACAAGAUUUAAGAGAAACUCUUCUUCAGUGACGACAAGAACCACCCGUAAAUUAUUGAGACACUCCAGAAUGAAGAAUAUAAUUGUUGAACCAACAAUGAAAAUAAUUUGAAAGCGAUCUAGGAGAAGGCAUGUGACUGAUGAAAAUUUAUUCUUACGUCCAAUUUGAGAAUGACUCUGGAAAAAAAUUAGAAGAGUCAGGUAAGAUCCUGGGAAAAGACCUGUGGGUUGUGGUCCCACUUGAAAGAAACACCGUUGAACAAUUACUUGAAAGGGAGAGUGCACCGAUUGAAUUAAAUGCUUUGAUUGAGAUAACAACCACUAAAUAGAACAAACGGAUCUUGAAUGGAAAUGUGAAUCUUCAGAGAUAUCUUCAGUAUUCUGGAGCAAAUGAAUAGCAAGAGGUGAAUGAUUAAGAGGUGCACCAGCAUGAAAAAGCAUUUGAAAUAAGGAAAUAGAUAUGAUCAACAUCGAAAGCUUGUAUUUAGCCCCCGUAGAAGAAAAGAGAACAAAGAAUAAUAAACUUGUAGCUUACUUAGCAUCUUCACGUGAAAUCACCGGAUAAGAACAUUGAAGGAAAAUAAUGAAGAGACUUCACACGAAUAAAAGGAUACAUGAUUUGAGAAUUCUGAGUCCUAGAAGAAAAAGGGGUGGGAGGGCGGGAAAACAAAGGCAACUUGGGGAAAGAUGAAACAAACACCGUUGCGAAGAACUAAGAAUUGAUCUAGCAAAUAUUGAAAGGAUAGGAUUAACUUGAAGAGAAGCACGCCGGUUGGAAACAAUUGACAUGAUAACCUCAAUGAUCAAGAAGGAUUAGCACUCCCAUAGAAAUAUGAGAAAACCAUUAAGGGAAGGUAUGGAUCAACACUUGACAUCGAAGCAACUCGAAUACCAAAAAUAAAACAAAACAAAGGAUUGGCUUGCAGAAUAAGAAGGAAACAAAUACAUAACCCCUCAUGCAUUUGUUGGAAGGAUAUCCUAGGCAACUACUUGAAUUCCCACCUAAGAACUCCCGAAACUUUCUGGUUAUGCAAUCUAGUGUUGGGGAUACACGGAGGCACAAAUAUCUCACACAACUAACAAUCCUACACUCCAAUUGUAUCCAUCCGUCAACACAUAACCAAGAAAACCUCGGAAACCGUGUACCUCAGACCUUCAAAAACAUCCGAUAUACUAGAUGUGGCAAUACAUCUGAUCACUCUCCCCAGUACUGGGUGACGCCAAACUACUCUUGCCACAAAGAGUAUAGAAGCAUUUUUUAUGUCAGCCUGCUCUGGUAUUCCGCACUGAAACGAUAAGCACUGUGACAAAAACACCUUGGAGCUCAACUCCCCGGGACACUACCACAACCCCUAAAUGUUAGGAGGCCCCAUGUGAUGCCCCUUAUUCAAUCAUACACUAAUCAUGCAUGCAAACGUGUACGAUCAAGAUUAGGGACUCAUGGGAAGAUAUCGCAACACAACUCUAAAAACAAAUAAGUCUUACAAGCUUCAUAAUAAAAGCCAUAGGCCUCGAGGCCUUGAAUACAAGUGCUCGAUCAUAGACAAGUCAGCGGAAGCAACAAUAUCUGAGUACAAACAUAAGUUAAACAAGUGACCAUAAGAUUGCUAGCACAAACUGGGAUGCAGAUCGAAAGAGGCGCAUGCCUCCUGCCUGGGAUCCUCCUAAACUACUCCUGGUCAUCGUCGGUGGCCUGCACGUAGUAGUAGGCACCCUCGGUGUAGUAUGAGUCGUCGAAGGUGGCGUCUGAAUCCUGGGCUCCAGCAUCUGGUUGUGACAACCGAGAAGAAUGGAAAGGGGGAAAAGAGGGAUAAAAGAAACCAUGAGUACUUGCAAGCAAGGAUCUACACUACAUAUGCAUUAGUAUCAUUGGAAUGGGUAGUAUCUGUGGACUGAAUUGUAGAAUGCCAGAAUAAGAGGGGGAUAUCUAUUCCUGUCGAAGACUACGCUUCUGGCAGCCUCCAUCUUGAAGCAAUAGAAGAGAGCAGAUGGUAAGUUAACCAAGUAUCAUCGCAUAGCAUAAUCCUACCUGGCGAUUGUCUCCUUGUCGCCCUGUAAGAGAGCGAUCACCGGGUUGUAUCUGGCACUUGAAAGGGUGUGUUUUAUUAAGUAUCCAGUUCUAGUUGUCAUGAAGUCGAAGUACAACUCCGGUUCGUCCCUUUACCGAGGGACACGACUAUUCGAAUAGAUAAACUUCCGUGCAGGGGUGCACCACACAGUACCCCACACGCUAGAUCCCUUAGCACUAGUAGAAAAAACCCCAUUCGUCCUGGUUGAUAAGGGCCAUUUGUCCCGGUUUGUGAACCGGGACUAAAGGGUCGUUACUAAUGCCCUAACCCAUUAGUCCCAGCUCUUACAUGAAUCGGGAUAGAUGGGCCUCCACGUGGCCGGUGCGCCGAGCCCAGGCAGGAGGGCCUUUGGUCCCGGUUGGUGUCACCAACCGGGACCAAUAGGCAUCCACGCGUCAGCAUUUCAGGGGCUGGGGUUUUUGUUUUUUUUGAAAGGGGGGUGGGUUGGGGGUUUUGGGGGUUUAAUUUAGGUGUUUCAUAUAUUGUGUUAGCUAGCUAAUUAAUAGAGAGAAGUGUCCUCUCUUAUGUCCUUGCUUGGAUGACACUAUAUAUACGUAUAUAUAGAGAGGAGUAGACACGCUAGCUAGUAAGCAAAUAAAGGAAAUAGAAGAUCGUCAUGAACAUAUGCAUACAUAGAGAAGUGAUAUCGACCACCUCUCCUUCUCCGAGAGAUUGGUCAAACAACAAGUUCUCGUAUAUCUAUCCGACACUACCGGCUACAUAUAUACAGUAAUUAUCUCUUACAGUAUAAUCUCCUAAUUAUAUAUGAACACAGGGUCCACAUAGUAUUCUCCGUCUUCAGCGAUCACGUGGUCAAGGAAGAAUGCCGCCAAUUCCUCUUGAAUUGCUCGCAUACGAUCUGGUGCUAGGAGUUCAUCCCGCAUCCGAAACAUCUAAUUUGAACAAGGGGGUCAAUACAUAUAUAUAUGAAUAAAUGAAACUCAACACAAAUGAUGGUAAUAAAAUAAAAUUGUGAAUAUUAUUGCUUACGCACUUCAUAUUGUUCGUCAGAGUACCCUCGUUCACAGGUCGUGUGGCGGAUGGACUCGCAAACGUAGUAUCCACAGAAAUCAUUCCCUUGUUCCAGCCACAACCACUUUACAGGAAAUAGAGGUCAAUCAAACUGAUAAGCAAGCAUGCCAAAUGGUAUUGAUGAAACUAGCGCUUAAAUCACUAGGAGAUGCGCGGAACAUGUUACUAUAGUACUUACUUUCGGGUGUCUAAAUUGCAGCUUCUUCGGCAGUCCCGGAGCUUUUUUGGUGAAUUUUCUCCAAACCCUGCCAGACAAAGAAAACAAUUAUUUGAUAUAUCAGGAAAUGAACAAAGUUGCUGAUAUGGUGGAUAAUGAUCGAUUUAACUUACUUCUCGAGCAUUUGAGUCAUGUCCGCAUACUCCUGGGAUCUUUUCGCCUCGAGUCUAAGAUGGUUACUAGUCCCUGCUCAAGCUUAAUCUCUAGGAGAAUAUAGUGGAACCUGUGCACACAUGCAUAACUCAUCAAUUACAUUACUAUAACCUGGACUAAUAAGGGAAACCGAAUAUGCACAAGAUAGUAACACUCACUUGAAGUUGUAAGGAAAGAGUAUUAUAUCUUUGUUUUCAUUUAUUACCAAUGAUCAUAGCAAGUUGGUCUCGGUAUCUUCGGCAUGAUAUUUAACCUCAGUUGCAUCUAUGAGAUUUGUGUUAAUGAACCCAAUAUCACCAAUUUGUCUUUUCUUCAAUUCAGCGAUCUUCAGUCUGCAUAAUAUAGUGAGGAUAAUUAUAAAUACAUGCAAUGAAAGAGCUGACCUAUAUAGAGAGACUUAAUGACAAAAGUAGUACUACUUACAGAUAGUAGCAAGUGACCGUUGCUCCUUCGAGGGCCUUUUGAUUGAAAAACUGGAAGAACUCCUCAAAUGGAACAUUCAACAGUUCAAUUCCAAUGAGGUCAUGCUCCUCUCUAAGUCUCAGCGUCAAAGUAUUCCUCCUCCCAGACUCUCUGCAGGUUUUCAUGUAUCAAUCAUGGAAUCUUCGCAUCAUCGUUGUUAGAGAUCUUUCAUCUUUGACGAGAGGCUUCCCGUACUCGUAUUUGUGUUCCUCCACCUCCAAGAACUCAUAAUGUACAUUGUCGGGCAGGUAAUCUCCAAGAUUGCUAUAACCGGGCACCAUCCUCGGAUCAUUAGUACGCACCUUAAGCGGGGGGCACGAUUGGUUCGCUUCUUCGCCGAGCUGGGGAAAUUUUCUCCUAGCUCGUCGUUCUUUUAACCUUUGAUCACUGAUAGUACUUCCCGACCGCUCCGCUUCGACAAAUGACUUUGCAAUAAUGCGGUCAUAGUUGCCUUUCGGUGGAGACUUUGCUGGUUUUUUCAGGGCAGCCAGAGUGCGCUUCGCUUUCACCGGAUCUACCUUCUCCUCCGGAGGUGGAUUUUUCUUUGCUUUCACCCCUUUGAAGAAGUUCCUCACUUCAGCUCACGCGAUCUUGGCGUUCUCCUCCGGGUUCCUCUCGUAUGGUAACUUCUCUAGAGUCUUCAGAGAAGGACCGAAUCUGUAUUACCUCCCGCCUCUGGCUAUACUGCUAGACACCGGCAAAGCAGAUGGAGCGGUUACGGCUGUCUUCUUCCCUUGCUUACGAGGCGGAGGAGAAGGACUAUGACGCGUCGGAGCAGCCGGAGCGACGGCGGGUCUCUUUCGCCCUUGCUGACGAGGCAGAGAAGAAGGAGGUUGGCUGCUCGGGCGCGGCGGCGUAGGCGGAGAAGGAGGCGGAGUGCCGCCACGCGCCGGAGAAGGAGGCUGAGUGCCCUGAUCACUCGCCGGAGGAGGAGGCGGAGUGCCCUGACUCGUCGUCGUCGGAGGAGGAGGAGGCGGAGGUGUCCAGUUCAGAAGCUUGAUGAGCUCCUUCCGCCAUAGGCAUGGAGUCAAUAGACAAGAACCCAGCCGAGUCUCCCCUUCACCGGUAGGGUAGUCAAGCUGGAGGUCCUCAAAUCCCUCUGGUAUUUCUUCCAUCGUCACCCCGUCAUAUCCUUCUGGACUCGGACUACAGUGAAAAGUUGCGCCGGGUUCAGUAGGUCAAACAGAGCCAACAGCCGCCCUGACUUUGAAGUUCUACCAUUGCGUCAUAAGGUGGCAAUGUUGAGACUCCGUGAUAGCAUCCACGGGGUAGCUAGCAGGAACCGUCAAGACAUGCUCCGGCUGAAGCAGCUCGGUGGAAGCCACGCUGCUUCUCCGCUGAGAUGGCGGGGUAGCUUCGGGUGUAGUUUCGGCUGGUUGCUUGUCGCGAGCUACUUCGUGUUCCUCUAGCGCUUGAACCCUUUCAUGGAGCGUCUGAAUUUGGGCAUGCUCCACUUUUUUCCUCCUCUCCUACAAUUUGUAACCGCCUGUGUCUGGAAAACCAACAUUCCACGGAACGGAGCCCGGCGUGCCUCGUGUCCGUCCAAGGUGCUCAGGAUUCCCGUGGGCCAUUGUGAGCUCGUCAUUCUCUCUGUCUGGAACGAACGUCCCUUGCUGUGCUACAUCGAUAUAGUGCUUUAGCUUCUUGACUGGUAUGCUCAUUUGCUCGUCCGUCCAAACGCAUUUCCCUGAUACAGGGUCCAAGGUUCCGCCAGCCCCGAAGAACCAAGUCCGGCAACGGUCUGGCCAGUUCAUUGUCUUUGGUUUGAUCCCUUUAUCAAGCAGAUCAUUCUCAGCCUUGGCCCACUUAGGCCGGGCGUUGAGGUAGCCACCUGACCCCAUGCGAUGAUGAAGCUUCUUCUUUGCAGCAUUUUUCUUGUUUGUCGCCGACAUCUUCUUACUCUUUUCUGAUGUCUUGUAGGCCACAAAUGCGGGCCACUGAUCUCUAAUCUUCUCAUAUAUGCUGAUGAAUUCUGGUGUCUCUUCUUUGUCGACAAAUUUUUUUAGCUCAUUCUUCCACCUCCUGAAUAGGUCUGCCAUCUUCUUAAGAGCAUGAGACUUGAUUAAUUUCUCCUUAACAGGCUUCUCCGGAUCCUCCUCUAGCGGUAGGGUGAAAUUUUCCUUCAGCUCAUUCCAAAGAUCAUCUUUCUGCAUAUCAUUGACAUAAGACACCUCAGGGUCUUCGUUCUUAGGCUUACACCAUUGCUGGAUGCUGAUCGGGAUCUUGUCCCUAACAAGAACCCCGCACUGAGCAGAAAAUGCUUCCUUUGUCCGGAUGGGUUCAAUCGGCAUGCCAUCGCGCGCGAUUUCUGUGAUCUCAAACCUUUCAUACGAGCGCAACUUUUUCUUCGGGCCUCGUCUCUUUACCGAAGUUGUGCUCGAUCCGGAUGGCUAGAAAAAAGAAGAAUUAGACGAGAGUUAAUUAAUAUGUGGACAUACCAAAACAAUGAAUGCAUCAAUUUUAGCUAGUCAUCACAUGCUUAACUAAUAUAUUUACCUACCCAGACUCUGUUCGGUCACCGGAGCAGUCACCACGGGCUCCGUCUUGCACCAGCAUUGGGUCACAGGAGCCAUCAUAAUCAUUUCUUUCCUCCUCCACUCUUCGAUCACGGUAGCCUGCUUCUUCUUCACCUUGUUCUGCUUCCAGACCAUCAUUAUCGUUAAGAUACGACAUGACAUCACCUCCGGCUAAGAUUAUGUCCCCAACACAUGUUCUUGUUCCUCGUCUCGUCCGAACUCCAUUGUUUCUGCAAAUAUUACAACAUGGCAAUUAUUACACAAACAUGACAGGAGGGGGUUAUAUCGACAACGACGACAUACAUACAUGGGAAAAUAAUGUUAUCAGGGAGGGGGUAGGUCGAACCACCCCCCUCGUGUUGAAGUUAUCGGGACACGGGGUAUAUCGACAAUGACAUAUUCGAUAAAAAUAAGAAGAUGAAGAAGAAAUAAAGAGGAGAAGAAGGUAUUAAUAGAGGAGAAGAUUGAAGAAAAAAAAGAAGAAAAAAAGAGGAGAAGAAGAUAUUAAUAGAGGAGAAGAUUGAAGAAAAAAAGAAGAAGAAAAAAAGAAGAGAAGAAGAAAGAAAUAGAGGAGAAGAAGAGAAAAUAGAAUAUCUAUUUUCUCUUCUUCUCCUCUUCUUUUUCUUCCUUUUUCUUCUUCUUAUUUAUUUCUCCUCUUCUUCCUCUCCUCUUCUUCUCCUUUCUUCCUCUUCUUAUUUUCCUUUUUCCUCUCAUUCUUUUUCUUCAUCUUCCUUUCAUAGCUAGAUAUAUAAAACUUUUCUAAAGAUGUAACUUUUGCAUACAUACAUGGGAAAAUAAUAUUAUUGGGGAGGGGUAGGUCGAACCCCCCCCACCCUCCUGUUCAAGUUAUCGGGACACGGGGUAUGUCGACAACGACAUAUCCGAUAAAAAAUAAGAAGACGAAGAAGAAAUAAAAAGAGGAGAAGAAGAUAUUAAUAGUGGAGAAGAUUGAAGAAAAAAAAGAAGAAAAAAAAAGAGGAGAAGAAGAAAGAAAUAGAGGAGAAGAAGAGAAAAUAGAAUAUUCUAUUUUCUCUUCUUGUCCUCUAUUCCUUUCUUCUUCUCCUCUUCNNNNNNNNNNNNNNNNNNNNNNNNNNNNNNNNNNNNNNNNNNNNNNNNNNNNNNNNNNNNNNNNNNNNNNNNNNNNNNNNNNNNNNNNNNNNNNNNNNNNNNNNNNNNNNNNNNNNNNNNNNNNNNNNNNNNNNNNNNNNNNNNNNNNNNNNNNNNNNNNNNNNNNNNNNNNNNNNNNNNNNNNNNNNNNNNNNNNNNNNNNNNNNNNNNNNNNNNNNNNNNNNNNNNNNNNNNNNNNNNNNNNNNNNNNNNNNNNNNNNNNNNNNNNNNNNNNNNNNNNNNNNNNNNNNNNNNNNNNNNNNNNNNNNNNNNNNNNNNNNNNNNNNNNNNNNNNNNNNNNNNNNNNNNNNNNNNNNNNNNNNNNNNNNNNNNNNNNNNNNNNNNNNNNNNNNNNNNNNNNNNNNNNNNNNNNNNNNNNNNNNNNNNNNNNNNNNNNNNNNNNNNNNNNNNNNNNNNNNNNNNNNNNNNNNNNNNNNNNNNNNNNNNNNNNNNNNNNNNNNNNNNNNNNNNNNNNNNNNNNNNNNNNNNNNNNNNNNNNNNNNNNNNNNNNNNNNNNNNNNNNNNNNNNNNNNNNNNNNNNNNNNNNNNNNNNNNNNNNNNNNNNNNNNNNNNNNNNNNNNNNNNNNNNNNNNNNNNNNNNNNNNNNNNNNNNNNNNNNNNNNNNNNNNNNNNNNNNNNNNNNNNNNNNNNNNNNNNNNNNNNNNNNNNNNNNNNNNNNNNNNNNNNNNNNNNNNNNNNNNNNNNNNNNNNNNNNNNNNNNNNNNNNNNNNNNNNNNNNNNNNNNNNNNNNNNNNNNNNNNNNNNNNNNNNNNNNNNNNNNNNNNNNNNNNNNNNNNNNNNNNNNNNNNNNNNNNNNNNNNNNNNNNNNNNNNNNNNNNNNNNNNNNNNNNNNNNNNNNNNNNNNNNNNNNNNNNNNNNNNNNNNNNNNNNNNNNNNNNNNNNNNNNNNGUUCGGCGAGGAAGGGGGCGGGGCAGGGCGUCGGCGACGAUGGGGGUGCGCGGCCCGGGGCGCGCGACGCACAUCGGGGCAGGGCGGCGAUCGGUGACGGCCUUGGGCGAGGGCACGGGCGAUGGCGAGCGGGCGGCGACGGCAACCUCGAGCGGCUAGGGGAGGCGACGGCGACGUCGGGGCAGGGGCCGACAUCGAGGAGCAGCGCGGCAGCCUGGCGGCGUUGGAGAGAAGAAUGGCGGGUGGGGGGGGGAUUUCUGCAGCCCAAAGGGCGGGAAGUGGCGGCCUUUGGUCCCGGUUGGUAGCACCAACCGGGACUAAAGGGUGGCAUUGGUCCCGGUUGAUGCCAUGAACCGGUACCAAUGCACCCCUUUAGUCUCGGUUGGUGGCACCAACCGGGAUAAUUGAAGAUGAGGAUGACUGUCGGUGUCAAAACCGGCGGAUCUCGGUUAGGGGGUCCCGAACUGGGCGUCCAGGAUGGAUGGUAACAGGAGGCAGGAGACACGAUGUUUUACCCAGGUUCGGGCCUUCUUGAUGGAGGUAAAACCCUACGUCCUGCUUGAUUAAUAUUGAUGAUAUGGGUAGUACAAGAGUAGAUCUACCACAAGAUCAGAGAGGCUAAACCCUAGAAGCUAGCCUAUGGUAUGAUUGUAUGUUGUGAUUGUUGUCCUACGGACUAAAACCCUUCGGUUUAUAUAGACACCAGAGAGGGUUAGGGUUACACAAGGUCGGUUACAAAGGAGGAGAUAUCCAUAUCCGUAUUGCGUAGCUUGCCUUCCACGCCAAGUAGAGUCCCAUCCGGACACGAGACGAAGUCUUCAAUCUUGUAUCUUCAUAGUCUAACAGUCUGGCCAAUGGAGAUAGUCCGGCUAUCCAGAGACCCCCUAAUCCAGGACUCCCUCAGUAGCCCCUGAACCAGGCUUCAAUGACGAUGAGUCCGUCGCGCAGUAUUGUCUUCGGCAUUGCAAGGCGGGUACCUUCUCCGAUUACAUCACAGAAGAAUUUGAAUACGAGGAUAGUGUCCGAACCUGCAAAAUAAGUUCCACAUACCGCCGUAGAGAGAAUAAUAUUUUCGCAAUUCCAAUUUGCUGACUUGUUUUGGUAGCAUGACGUUAUGUCAUGGCCCGGUGAUUAUUCGAACCAUUUUUCUUCAACCAGCUCCACACAUAACGCGAGGCGGUUUCUUGACACGUCUUGUCAAAGCAGAGAUCGUGUUCCCCCAAUUAUGGGAUUCUCAUUAAUGCGGUCAUGGGUAACCCAACCGUGUCUAGGACUCCUAGAUUAUAGGCAAGUCCUUAAUGGCUACGGAGGGGACGCUUGAUAUUCACCCUCUUUAUAAAGGGACAAGGUUUUCGCUUUUUCCCUCUCGUGCUCAAUCAAACCCUUCCCUCACCUUUAUUUCCAACCCCCAAAGCCCAGGUUAGGUGCUCCGGAUCUUCAAUCAUGUCUGGAUCCAGCCUUCAAGGCCGAUGGAUGCCCUCCUCCGUGAUGGAAGAGGACAUCAAGAAGUAGAGGGAGGCCAGAUACCUGACCACCGAGGUUUCGCAUGGGCUUCCUACUCAAGGGCAGGUUGUCCCUACUCCCGAACCCAACGAGAACGUCGUGUUCGUUUCCCACUUCCUCAGAGGCCUAGGCCUCACUUUGGAUCCCUUCGUCAGGGGUUUGAUGUUCUAUUACGGGCUAGAUUUCCAAGAUCUAGCUCCGGACUCCUUUCUCCACAUCUCGACAUUUAUUUUUGUGUGUGAGGCCUUCCUCCGCAUUACCCCUCACUUCGGCCUGUGGCUCAAGACCUUUGAAGUGAAGCCGGAGAUGAUUGAGGGGAAACAUGCAGCGUGCGGAGGUGCAUCAAUAGGCAAGAUGGCAGGAGCUCCAUGGCCGAAAGGUUCCUUUCCAGAGGUAUCCGAAUUAUGGCAACGGGAGUGGUUUUACGUCACAGCUCCUAGAAGUGCCAAGUGGGCAGCUGCCCCCGCUUUCUGCUCGGGCCCCUCACCAUGACUAAUGUCAUGGAUUAGCAGAGGUCUGAGCUGGGGUCCAGCCAAGGACAUGCCUAUACUGCAAAGCCGCAUUCGAGAUCUCUUCGAGGGAGAUUUUAAUUUGGUCGUGGUAAUGCAAGUUAUGCUGGUUCGUCGAGUCCAGCCUUGCAAACGCUGGCCCCUUCGCUUGUGGGAGUUCAACCUAGAAGGACCGCGUGCUAUUCAAAGUUUCCUUGGCCUGACGUACGAGGAGAUGUACAAGUCACUCUUCGGACCUCAAAUAGAGUGUCCAGAUACUACCGAGGACGUGGGCCUGGGCAGUAACUGCACCGCCAAACAAGUAAGAAAUCCUCUAGCCAAACACACCACCUUUUAUUCAUCAUGAAGUUAUUUCUGAGAGAUUGCUCUUUGACCAGGACUGGCUAACCAAGGCGAAGAUGAUUCGGUGUUCAGCCCCCCUCCCUGAGGGUUUGGGAAAUCCGGUAUUGGAAAAGAUGCUCGAGCUCGCACCUUGCCCGGAGCCCUCGAAGGAAGAUACAGGGGGGAAUAAUAUGGGCGGAAGCGGGGCCCCAUCGCUGCCAGUUCCAACCGAGGGAAUGAGCGCCUCCUUAAAGGAGGAUAACCGGGGGAGGAAGAGGACUGCUUCCGAGGAUCCGGAAGCCGAGGCCUCCAAACGAGAGAAGAAGUCUCUAACAGAGGGCCCUGCCUCUGGGGGUGCUCUUGCCGUACAAAGUCCGCGGGGGGAUCAGCCCUCCAAUGAGUCGUAAGUGAUCCAAAAAAUACUUUAAAAGUAAAGGUAUAUUAUCUUUCUUCUGAGAAAAUAACCGCCGCAUAUAUCUUGCAGUUCGGGUCUUAGCCCUUCUUAGCUGAGCUCGUCUUCGGGGGAUCUUCUUCCGGAGAUGAUGGAAAGCGAAACGCCUCCCCCGGACUCCUCCGCUCAAGAAGCGGGCAACCCCGAAGUGUCGUCACGGAGGGCCUCUCCGGAUCCGGUGAGGCCAGAAGAUAAUCCCAUAGACCCCCAAAGUCCCCAGCGUCCGGCUCCCGAAGAGAGCAAACAAAAGAGUCCGGCACCGUAUGGUAUGCGGUCGGACAUUCUGAGGGAGCUGUUGGGGCGAGCGGCCAUCUCAGAAGAACACCGUACGCUGAUGGGUUCGGUGAUGGAAAUAAUUUCGUCCGCCAAAAGCGGAUUACAUGAAGCCUUUAUGAGUCUACUGACAGGCUUUCACGUACAUGAAAUAAUAUGUGAUAGUACCACACAUGUUAGGUGUGCCAUGUGUAGAUAGUAGCCCUUGAGACUCUGGUUGUCAUCGGGAACGGCGGCGAAUAGAGGAUUAUAGUCUCAGGAAAUAACCAGACUGCCUUUAUUUGCAGGUGGUGGAAGCUCCGGUGGCUAGCCGGACUAGUGAGUUUGCUAAAUUAAAACGACAACUGGAUGCGGCAGACGCCGACAUCGAGCUUGUUAACAAGCGGCUUGACGAAUCACAGGGUAAGUAAUGUUUUCUGGUGAAUGUCACACAAUAAGAGCAGCAUGAUGCCAGUAUCUUUAGUAUGUUGUGACUGCAGACGGAGCUGCCACCGUGGAGACCCUUCGGGCGGAACUCGCCCGAGCCAAGGAACAAGCGAGGGUUAGUAAUGCGGCUACUUUGAAGGCGGCCGAAGAGUUAAGAGCUGAGAAGGCCGCUCAUUGUGAAAGCAAAGAAAGGAUGUCCAAGUUGGCCGUAGAAUUAAAAGGCACUGCCGACCGUUGCUAGUUCCUUGAAGAAGAGAACCGAGUGAAGGCAGUGGACCUUGAGAAGGCCACUAUGGCGACCAAAGACAGUCGCUCUGCUAUGAGGGCGAAGAAGGAGGAGCUGCGCGAAGCCGAGGAUAUUGCGGCUGGGAAGCCCUUUCUGCUGCGGAGGAAGUUCGAAGAUCCGCGAUAUGCCCCUCUAGAUCGGCUGUGGAGUUCGGCAGACGCAUAUAUGGACUUGGCGGCAAGCGCUGUCGAUGCGGUCGAAUACUUCCAAGAUCAAUCAGAUCGUGAAGUGGACAAGCUAUUCUGGUCGCAAUUCAAUGUUCCAGAGCGUUUGCUUCCCUUAACUGAUCAGCUAGCCGAAUGGGCCGAACUUAAUAGGUUGUCCGGACUCGCCAUGAGGUCUGUUGUAGAUCAUUUGUGGCCGGAGAAGCCGAAGCCGAACAACUAUUUUAGCUUAGUGCAGCAGUUCCUUGGUGCGGUGCCGCGCAUCAACGCGAUGAAGAGGUCGGCGUGCAUAGAAGGCUCACGGAUGGCCUUUGCCCGUGUCAAGGCAUACUAGGCGGAGAUGGAUGCUACCACUGUUGCGGCGCAAGGUUCGGGCAUAGGCCGAGUAGCUGCCGAGCACUAUUUUAAAGAGGUUCUUAAGGGUGCUCGUUUGAUAGAGUCCCAGUGCUCGAAGAAUAUUAUGUUUGAAUGACAUGUAUUCCCAUUGUAAACACAAUGUUUUUAUGAAAUAUAGUAAGGCUGUAUUUAUACUUUUGCCAGAAAGUAAUGUGAUGCCUCCCGUGCGGCCGUUUGUGUAUACAUGUAUAUAACCUGAAAGAUUGCAGUCGUCGGCUUCAACCCCCACGCAUAUAAUGCGGAGGUGCUCGCAAAAAACGUGUGUUCACACUUAACCCAACGUCUUGGUCCUAUUAAGGAGGUGAUAGCGCAGCAAACGAGGCAACCGGACUACAGUGCUUUAAUACUUUCACUUAGCCAUAGGAGUUUGACAGUGGGGCUACUAGAUAGCCCCUGGUGGCUCCGCACUCUCCCGAUCUCGGGGUGCGUACAUGCUUGGCCGGAAAACGGCCCUUCGUUAAGGCGGAGGAAUUCUAACAUUCCGAUAGGUCAUCGAGUGGUUGACCAGUCUCACGCUAUAUCAUGACAGUCAGUUUUCGGCUUUCUCUACUGAGGUGCUCGUCUGGAUGAACCAGGGCACAAUCGCAGUAGUUCUCCUGGUGCUGCCUUAGCCGAUAAAGCCGAACGUAAGGCACCAAAACACAGGAGCCGGGCAAACCCAACAUUUGACCAAAGACAAUGAUUCAGAGCUGAUGCAUAUAAGGCCAAACUCGCGACGCCGAACACUCCCUAAGGUAUUCGGUCUUUAUGGUAUAAAUCGGGCCUAAAUAGUGCCCUCUGUAAGAAGCCCCUUGUGUCCAGGUACAUGCAUUAUUGUGACGUGGCCACAUGCCAAGACGUCAGCAUCCUUCUCAAUUGUACUGAGAAUUCGAGGGAUGUGUAUCAAUAAGAGACAGUAAAAAAGGUUUACGCAGGGUCUUAAUCUAAAGGGAAUCCUUGGAGCGGGUCCCUGCUGCAUGUCUACGCCUGUGUCUCCGUUGUGCCGUAUCCUGUACGGGUGUAGCACGAUGGUCAUCUGUAAAAGAAAGGAACUUAGGUGAAAAAGUUGUCGUGCAAAAAGAUAGUUUUUAAAGAAACCAUGUAUAACUAAAAAUGAGUAGAAAUUGCCACUUGUCUGCGCGCGUUGAGCCCCUUGUAUUUGUAAUAGGGGUGUGGCCAUCAAUCUGGUACAAAUUACAUAUAGCAGCGCCGAACUUGUCUAACCGCGUCCGUGGUCUUGAUGACCUAUCAAAUGCUUUAGUUGGUGAGGCCGUUUUUAGUGUGCGGCUGCCAAGGCAGUCACAUUCUCUUCGGCGCGCAAAGAUCGCUUAAUACUUCCGUUCACUGUAAUGAUGCCACAUGGACCGGGCAUCUUGAGCGUCAGGGAAGCGUAAUGUGGUAUUGCAUUAAAGCGAGCAAAAGCUUCGCGUCCAAGUAGUGCUUGAUAUCCACUUUGGAACGGAGCGAUGUGGAAGGUUAAAUGUUCGCUACGGAAGUUAUCGGGGAAGCCGAAUAUAAUCUUUAGUAGCAGGGAGCCCGUGCAAUGAGCCCCUGGGCCUGGCGUUACUCCUUUGAAGGUAGUAUUGCUAUGGCAAAUUUUUGUUGGGUCUAUCCCCAUUUCACGGAUUGUAUCCUGGUAUAUCAGGUUGAGGCUGCUGCCGCCGUCCAUCAGGACUCGUGUGAAGUGGUAUCCGUCAAUUAUUGAGUCUAAUACCAAGGCAGCCCAUCCCGCAUGCCGGAUACUUGCUGAGUAAUCACUAUGGUCGAAAGUGAUCGGUUGAGACGACCAGUGGCAGGACUCCGCGGUGAUAUGCCUUUGGGCAUAUUUUUCUGGGAGUGCCGUUUUGUUUCUCCCCUUGAUCACGUGUAACACGUUUACUGUUUUGACUUCUGGUGGAAAUUUCUUUUGUUCCCCAGUGUCUUCCUUGAGAGGCUCAUCCUCGUCUUUGCUUGGUGUAUCCUCCCCCUUGUGUACGGCGUUGAGCUUGUCGGACUGCUUGAAGACCCAACAUUCUCUGUGGGUGUGAUUAGCGGGUUUACCAGGGGUGCUAUGGAUCUGACAUAUUUGAUCCAGAAUUUUUUUUAGGCUGGAAAGUUCAUCUCUGGCGUCUUUAGAGGGCGGCUUUUGCUGACCUGGCCGAGAGCAUUUGAAUCCGGCGUUUACUACCGUGCUCUCCGUGCUGUCUUCUUUAUUCCGAUGUUUGUUAUUGCUAUUGCACCGUGAUUUCCCGUUUCCAUAUCUAACUUCAGAUGUACUGGGGUCGCUGGUGUUGCAUCUGGCUAGCCAGUUGUCCUCACCCACGCAAAAGCGGGUCAUGAGGCUUGUUAAUGCUACCAUUGUUCUCGGCUUUUCUGGCCAAGGUGUCUGGCAAGCCAUUCUUCACGGACGCUAUGCUUAAAAGCUGCCAAGGCUUCGGCUUCCGGACAGUCGACAAUUUGGUUCUUUUUAGUAAGAAACCUGUUCCAAAGCUUUCGGGCUGACUCUCCGGGCUGUUGAGUUAUAUGACUCAAAUCAUCCGCAUCCGGGGGUCAAACAUAAGUCCCUUGAAAAUUUGCCCGAAAAGCGUCUUCGAGCUCUCCCAGCUUCCAAUGGAGUUUUCGGGGAGGCUUUUAAGCCAUUGGCGAGCUGGCCCUUUGAGCUUGAGGGGUAAGUACUUGAUGGCGUGGAGAUCAUCUGCUCGAGCCAUAUGGAUAUGGAGGAUAUAGUCCUCAAUCCAGACCCCAGGGUCUGCUGUUCCGUCGUAUGCCUCUAUGUUUACGGGUUUGAAUCCCUCUAGAAAUUCAUGGUCCAACACCUCAUUGGUGAAACAUAGGGGGUGUGCGGCACCCCUAUAUCUGGGUGUACCUGGUUUUUUGGAUGUUUUUUGUGUUACAUCGUAUGCCGGGGUGCGCUUGUGUGGUCCAUAGAUGGAUCUGGUUGCGUUGUCCUUUUGGUGCGAGCCCUCGCGUGGAUCAUGUAUUGGCUUGUGAGUGGCGUUGUUGGCCGCUCUAUGUUGGCCAUGAGGUCGUCUAUCCGGCCAGGUGGCCAUUUCGAUUUUUGGUUGUAGGGGGGUCUGAGGCCUCCUCAUCAAAUGCAGGUAGCAACUUCCGCUUUGGGUAGCUCUUGGUGGGGCGACUGCCGUCGUACUUCGCUGCUGUGUUGAGUACUUUACUCCAUCUGAUUUGGAGUGUGUCCUGCGCAGUCUUGAGCCUUUGCUUCUACUUUUUCAUACUCCUCGUGGUGGUAACAAGCCUUUGACAGAAUUGGUUUGUUCGGUUUGAUUCUCCAUAUUGCCGCGGUCCGGCAGUGGUUCGCCCUGCUCCAACGCUGGGUCAGUAUGAUCGUUAUUUUUGCCGAGGCGGGAUUUGGGGCGGUGCUUGCGCCGCCGCUUUGACUGCUUCUCGAGGGAACAAGCCUUCGGUGCGUCCUUCCGUUCCUCCUCGUCAUCUUUUGGUGUGUCCACCAUGUAUACGUCAUAUGAUGAGGUGGAUGUCUAGCGCCCUGUGGGCGGUGGUUCCUCUUCGCCUCCCGCAUCGUCGUCCAUACCGUCGACGUCUUCGGACUCGAAGUCGAGCAUGUCGGUUGAGUCAUCGACAGUGGCUAUUAAGUGGGUGGUGGGUGGGCGUCAAAUUUCUUCGUCGUCCGCAUCCAAAUCCUGUUGGCCAUAAUCCGGCGAGGGCUCUCCUAACAAAGAGAGGGACCUUAGUGAAUUUAGAAUGUCGCCGAAGGGCGAGUGCUGAAAGAUAUCCGCGGCGGUGAAUUCCAUGAUCGGCGCCCAAUCGGAUUCGAUUGGCAGGGGCGCGGGCGGUUCGGAGUGAGAAAAAGAGUCCGGCACCUUGGAGUCACGGGUUGCGCAGAGGAUUAUGCUGGUCUCAGCUCGAUCGCCAUUGAGACUGUAGCCCCUGAGGUGGUGUCUAACCACCCGACCUCGAUUGGCGCAGUUGACUCCGAGCUAAGGGUCACAGCUAAUGUGGGCGCGGCCACUGGGGUAUUGUUCGGCGGCAGAGCUAGGUCAUACCCAUCAUGACAGUGCGGCGUGUCCGACUACGGCUUGAAUCUAUCGAAGAUCAAGUCUCCGCGGAUGUCGGCCGUGUAGUUCAAACUUCCAAAUCUGACCUGACGGCCAGGGGCAUAGCUUUCAAUCUGCUCCAGAUGGCCAAGCGAAUUAGCCAGCCGCGCAAAGCCGCCGAAUACGAAGAUCUGUCCGGGUAGAAAAGUCUCACCCUGGACCGCAUCGCUAUCGAUGAUAGUAGGAGCCAUCAAGCCUAAUAACGGCGACGACAGAGAGGAACUCUCAAUGAAAGCACCAAUGUCGGUGUCAAAACCGGCGGAUCUCGGGUAGGGGGUCCCGAACUGUGCGUCUAGGCUGGAUGGUAACAGGAGGUAGGGGACACGAUGUUUUACCCAGGUCCAGGCCCUCUUGAUGGAGGUAAAACCCUAUGUCCUGCUUGAUUAACAUUGAUGAUAUGGGUAGUACAAGAGUACAUCUACCACGAGAUCAGAGAGGCUAAACCCUCGAAGCUAGCCUAUGGUAUGAUUGUAUGUUGUGAUUGUUGUCCUACGGACUAAAACCCUUCGGUUUAUAUAGACACCGGAGAGGGUUAGGGUUACACAAGGUCGGUUACAAAGGAGGAGAUAUCCAUAUCCGUAUUGCCUAGCUUGCCUUCCACGCCAAUUAGAGUCCCAUCCGGACACGAGACGAAGUCUUCAAUCUUGUAUCUUCAUAGUCUAACAGUCCGGCCAAUGGAGAUAGUCCGGCUGUCCGGAGACCCCCUAAUCCAGGACUCCCUCAAUGACGAUGUUGAGGAUGCCGACGGGGCAGGCAAUGAUGACACGGGGCAAGACGAAGAGAUGAUCGAUAAUGGCAGCGGGGAAGAGGCCGGACAUGGCGGCGGAGAAGGGACCGGACAUGGCGGCGGAGAAGGGUCCGGACAUGGCGGCGGAGAAGGGGCCUGUAACACCCCAAGACCGGAGCUUCAGUUGCCUUCCAGGGUUUCUGGGUUUCUCCGUGUGUUUUAUUUUUGCUUGCUCCUUUUAUUUUUUGCAUUGCAUCAUGUCAUCAUGCCAUCAUGUCAUUAUUUUUUGCAACUCAACUAAAUAAACCAUAUGGAUCUUCGAUCCAUUUAAACUGAGGGAAUUCACCUGGUGACUUCUCUUUAUAACAUACCCUCCCAAUAGUAGGGAGCUAUAUAAAAUAUUCCAUUCGUGUGAAUUACCUUGACACACUUGCAAAAUAUUUCCCCAUGCCUUCGUCCCAUGCAUCAUCUCCUUCUCCUGUCUUUUGCUAGUCCCAUUUUUCCCCUUCUCUUUUAAUGUCCAUUCUUUUCCUAUAAAUUCUAGACCGUGCCAGGACUACCUUCCCCAAUUUUCGGAUCCUUUGGACUUGUUUUGGUACGGUUCAAAGAUGGCUCAAGUUUGAAUUUAAUUCAAACUUGAAUUAUUUUUCUAUCUAUGAUAUUUGCCAAGUCCAUUUAUCCAAAUUGUGCAUAAUGCAAGGACUCCAGAUACAUUCUCAUAUCUCUCUCACGCCUUCACUUUAUCUUUGAGUUUUUCCCACUUAUUCUCUGUUUGAGGAAAUUGUGAAAAUAAGGAAUAAGAGGGGAAGGGAGAGCCCAGCUCCAGCGGCAGCAAUGCAGCCCAGCACCAGCAGCAACUGGGCUGGCCUCUAAGGCCCAGUCGCCCCAAGCCCAUCCUGCCCUGUUAACCCUAGACCAGACCCUUCCUCUCGAUCUCUUCCCUUUUCCUACACCUCGCGCCGCCAGGAGAGGACGCACGCGACCGAACCUUCCCCAUCUCCUGGAUGCGGCUAUAUCUUCCACUUAUCGAAGCACGACUUAGAGGCAUAACCGCAUUGAAAGCAAUGUCGCAAGUAAGGUAAUCUUCACACAACCCAUGUAAUACAUAAGGGAAAGAGAUACAUAAUUGGCUUACAAUCGCCACUUCACACAAUACAUGAAUAAAGCAUUACAUCAUCCAGAUACAAUCAAGGUCCGACUACGGAACCAAAAUAAAAGAAGACUACCCCAAAUGCUACACAGAUCCCCGAUCGUCCCAACUGGGCUCCACUACUGAUCGACUGAAACAACACAAAGGGCAAGGUCUUCAUCGAGCUCCUCCCGAGCUCAGCUGCAUCACCUACACGGUAUCAUCGGCACCUGCAAACUAGUUUUGGAAGUAUCUGUGAGUCACACGGACUCAGCAAUCUCACACCCUCGCGAUCAAGACUAUUUAAGCUUAUAGGAAGGGUAAAAGGUAUGAUGUGGAGCUGCAGCAAGCGACUAGCAUAUAUGGUGUCUAACAUACGCAAAUGAGAGCGAGAAGAGAAGGCAAAAGCACGAUCGAACAACUAUGAUCAAGAAGUGAUCCUAGAACAACCUACGUUAAGUAUAACUCCAACACCGUGUUCAGUUCCCGGACUCCACCGGAAAGAGACCAUCACGGUUACACACGCGGUUGGUGCAUUUUAAUUAAGAGAAACUUCAAGUUUUCUACAACCGGACAUUAACAAAUUCGCAUCUGCCCAUAACCGCGGGCAUGGCUUUCGAAAGUUCAAAUCCCUGUAGGGGUGUCCCAACUUAGCCCAUCACAAGCUCUCACGGUCAAGGAAGAAUAUUCCUUCUCCCAAGACAAUCCGAUCAGACUCGGCAUACCGGUUACAGGACAUCCUCGACAAUGGUAAAACAAGUCCUGCAAGACCACCCACUGUGCCGACAAAUCCCGAUAGGAGCUGCACAUAUCUCGUUCUCAGGGCACACCGGAUAAGCUAAGUGUACGGGAGCCAACGUAACCCAAGUUGCCAAGGGACGGCCCCACACGGUGCUCUGGGUUGGACCAACACUUAGACAAGCACUGGCCCGGGGGUUUAAAAUAAAGAUGACCCUCGGGAUGCACAACUCCCAAGGGAAAAAGGCUAGGUGGCGAGUGGUAAAACCAAGGUUGGGCCUUGCUGGAGGAGUUUUAUUCAAAGCGAACUUUCAAGGGGUUCCCAUUAUAACCCAACCGUGUAAGGAACGCAAAAUCCGGGAACAUAACACCGAUAUGACGGAAACUAGGGCGGCAAGGGUGGAACAAAAUACCAGACAUAAGGCCGAGCCUUCCACCCUUUAACAAGUAUAUAGAUGCAUUAAUUAAAUAAGAGAUAUUGUGAUAUCCCAACAAUAAUAUCCAUGUUCCAACAAGGAACAAACUCCAAUCUUCACCUGCAACUAACAACGCUAUAAAAAGGGCUGAGCAAAGCGGUAACAUAGCCAAACAACGGUUUGCUAGGACAAGGUGGGUUAGUGGUUUGACAUGGCAAUAUGGGAGGCAUGAUAAGCAAGUGGUAGGUAUCGCAGCAUAGGCAUAGCAAUAGAGCGAGCAACUAGCAAGCAAAGAUAGAAGUGAUUUCGAGGGUAUGGUCAUCUUGCCUGAGAUCCCGCAAGGAAGAAGAACGAGUCCAUGAAGAAGACAAACGAACGAAGUCGAACGGAUCCUCACAGACGCGGCGUUAUCGAAACUAACGUGAAGAAGAAACACCGGAAAGAAGCAAACAACAUAGGAAACAACCACCACAUAAUCAUGGCAUGAUGCACAACUAAGUAUGAUGCAUGUCUGGUUUAAUGAUACAUGUCAUGGCAAAGUGCACAAACAACUCUACAAGUUAAGUGGAGCUCAAUAUGCAACGAGUUGCGUAUUGACGGAACACCACAUCAAUUAUUUUGUUGACUCUCGGUUAGGUACUCAACAAUAUUAAAUGUUGGUUAACAUGGCAAGAGGUGAAGCAUAACAAAACUAUACCAUCUAACAAUUUAAAUGAGGCCGGAUAUAACCAACAACAAAUCCGGUAAAUCCCCAUAUGCAUUAGCAAUUUAAUGCAACAACAAUUUUAAACAUCUUAAAGUUGUUAACAUGAUGCAGAUGACAUUUUCAAGUUUAUGCAAUAUUUAUGAAAAUGUUCACAUGAUAAGAUAUGAGGCAUUUAUCAUCGUGACGGAAACGAAAGGGGUGCCACGACAACGAAUCCGAAAGUGAUGCCACGGCAACUUAUUGGUUUCCGGUAACUCGAUUGAGAUACCGAUGCAAAGGGGAAGUUGUGUGUGAGUGUGUCAUGCAUGAUGGUGGGGUGAUCCCGGUAACCGGGUUCCCCACGAAUUAGCAGCAAAAGAGGAGGACCGAGCAAGUGACAACUCGGGCACGGUGCAAACAUAGGGUGCAACUCAUAGAACACAUGCAAACGUUCUCGGAUGGCCGUCUUGGGGUUAUACCUUCGAAGCAUGCGUUUCGAAGCGUAUCGGUUCGGUGCAAAGUAGAGGAAGUAGACGUUCUCGCCACGUUUGUAGUGGUAGUAGUUGUACUCAUGCCGUAGUGGAAGUAGUGGUUCGCGUCGAUGGUAGUGGUACAUACCAAUCAUGGACGAACUUGAGGGUCAUCGGUAGACGUUCACGGUUCUUAGUCUCACAAGUUUCCGUAGAUAUUCAGGGCACGGCGAGAAACUUGACGUCCACGGAGUCUUCAAGGGACGACGGUAGUGGUACUUGGCAAAAUGCACGUGGACGUCAGUUGUUCUCGUAUCGUCGUGGUACUGACGAUUUCAGAGACAAUGGAAGACAAACUUGGCGGUCCUUGUUGACCUCGUACUUGGCGUUGUUUCCGGUUCAGUGAUCAUUUUAGGCGUCGGGCGUCAUGGAGGAACUUGACAUUCUCAGCGAUUUCGAAGACGACGGUAGUGAUACACACGAGUCACCAUGUAGUCGUACACUUGUCGGAGAGGAUCUUGGCGCCUCCCAAGCGAAGCAGCAAAAAAAAGGCCUCGGGUCUUGGCGUGUCCAAAACGUGGCAGAACAUGGUCUUUGUUGCGGUCGUUAUCUUGAGGAGUUUAACAGGAGCUGGCAUCGCUCGGUCUUGGCGAGGCUGACAACAGGCCGCGUGGCCCACGUGCGAACAGCGAGGGCGAGGAAGCAGCCCUAGGCGCGGUCGAAGUGGGCGUCCUCGCUAUGCAGCAACUGGAGGUCAAUGGCGGAGCAGCAGCAAGACGAAGAGCUCGGCGGCCUGGACUCGCCGGUUGGAGGCGGGACGCGCGCAGUAGGGAGCUCAGUGGCCGGAGCUGAUGGUCAACGCCGCCGCAGGAUCGCGGGCACGAGGGCUCGGCGACGCCCCUGUUGCCACUCACGAUGAAGAAGGGAGGACCAUGGGCGCGCGAGGGGGCACUGCCUCGCGGCUGUGGACGCGAGCGAGGGGGAAGGUUGAGAACUCCGGUGACGCGGAGGCGCAGGAGAGGCGGGGUUGAGGACGACGGCUCAACGGCUCGGGGUGGCACGCGACAGAAGGAGCAGCUCCGGCAGGACGAGGGACUCGGCGACGUAGACUUGGGGCGCCGGUGACGAGCGACGUCUGCGGGCGCAGAGGACAACGGCUGCAGGCGCGGGUGCUCAGGGAGCUCCUCUCCUUGAGCGCUCGCCGACGGGGACUUUGCGAGGAAGAGGCACCGGCGACGGGCGACGUAUGCACUGCAGAGAGAGGCGCGCGGGGGGUUGCGAGAGGAGGGAGUGAGAGACUGCGAGAGGAUGGGGAUCGUGUGCGGCGCUGCGGGAGAGAACGAAAGAACGGGAGAUGGGGAUCCAGGAGAUGGGGAAGGUUUGGUCGCGUGCGUCCUCUCCUAGCGGCGCGAGGUGGAGGAAAAGGGAAGAGAUCGAGAGGAGGGGUCUGGGCUAGGGUUAACAGGGCAGGAUGGGCUUGGGGCGACUGGGCCUUAGAGGUCAGCCCAGUUGCUGCUGGUGCUGGACUGCAUUGCUGCCGCUGGAGCUGGGCUCUCCCUUCCCCUCUUAUUUCUUCUUUUCACAAUUUCCUCAAAUAGAGAAUAAAUGGGAAAAACUCAAAGAUAAAGUGAAGGCGUGAGAGAGAUAUGAGAAUGUAUCUGGAGUCCUUGCAUUAUGCACAAUUUGGAUAAAUGGACUUGGCAAAUAUCAUAGAUAGAAAAAUAAUUCAAGUUUGAAUUAAAUUCAAACUUGAGCCAUUUUUGAACCCUACCAAAACAAGUCCAAAGGAUCUGAAAAUUGGGGAAGGUAGUCCUGGCACAGUUUAGAAUUUAUAGGAAAAGAAUGGAUAUUAAAAGAGAAGGGGGAAAAUGGGACUAGCAAAAGACAGGAAAUAGAAGGAACAGAGAAGGAGAUGAUGCAUGGGACGAAGGCAUGGGGAAAUAUUUUGCAAGUGUGUCAAGGUAAUUCCACACGAAUGGAAUAUUUUAUAUAGCUCCCUACUAUCGGGAGCGUAUGUUAUAAAGAGAAGUUACCAGGUGAAUUCCCUCGGUUUAAACGGAUCAAAGAUCCAUAGGGUUUAUUUAGUUCAGUUGCAAAAAAUAAUGACAUGAUGGCAUGAUGACAUGAUGCAAUGCAAAAAAUAAAAGGAGCAAGCAAAAAUAAAACACACGGAGAAACCCAGAAACCAUGGAAGGCAACUGAAGCUCCGGUCUUGGGGCGUUACAGGUCCGGACAUGGCGGCGGAGAGAACGACAUUGACUCCAUGUAGCAGAGUUCGUUGGUACUAAGUUCAAUCGUGCGGGACCCUCAUGUUCAAGCAUUGCUUCGCAAGGAGACGAGUACUGAGAGAGCUACUUCUAGAGAGGAGGCUAAGCUGGAGCAACUGGUGGUAGACUCGAACACUCCAUUGUAUGAUGGUUGCAAUCCUGAGGUGACCCGCUUGAGUUUCACGCUCCAGCUCCUGAAGACGAAGGCUAAAAACAAAUGGACCGACACUAGCCUCGAUGCGCAUCUCAAGUACCUAAAGGAUGUUCUUCCCGUGAGUAAUCUAUGUCCUAGUAGUGUUGAUGAGGCCAAGAAGAUCGUAUGCCCUCUUGAUCUGCCACACGUUAGAUACCAUGCAUGCAUCAACGAGUGCAUAAUUUAUCGGAAGGAGCAUGCGGAAAAAACAAGUUGUCCGGUGUGCAAUGAUUCUCGAUACAAGAAGGCCGGGAAGAAAUGUCCCCAAAAACUGGUAGGGUAGUUACCGAUCACUCCCCGUCUCCAGAGGUAUUUUAUAGAUCCCAUGGAAGCAAAGCUAAUGCGCUAGCAUGCGGAGAGGAAGAAGCCCGACGACGGAGAUGAUCCGAAGCUGAGACACGUCAAGGAUGGAAGCCAGUGGAGAGCGUUGAACAACUUCUAUCGGUAUUUUGAAUGUGAUGCAAGGAACAUCGUGCUCGGCGCGUGUACCGAUGGCAUGAAUCCGUUUGGCAACCAGAACACCAACCAUAGCACAUGGCCCGUGUUUGUAUGGAUGUACAACAUCCACCCUGGUUGUGCAUGAAAUCAAAGUACAUUCACAUGAGCAUGCUUAUUCAAGGGCCGAAACAACCAGGAAAUAAUAUUAAUUUGUAUCUGGGGCUACUUCAAAAGGAGUUAGACACGUUAUGGAAAACACCGGCCAAGACAUGGGAUGCCAGCAAAGGCAAGUAUUUCAACAUGAGAGUCGCGCUGAUCACGACAGUGCAGGACUAUCUCGGUUACGGAUAUGUUCCAGGCCAGGUGUGCCAUGGAUAUUGCAGAUGCACGCGGUGCAUGGAUGAUACGACGUCUCAGCAGCUAACGUCAAGGAAAGAUGGCGGGUCUGGGAAAAUCGUGUACAUGGGGCAUCGAAGAUGGCUCGAACAGGACGGCCCAUGGAGAAAUCGUGGAGAUCUAUUCAAUGGUCACGCUGAGCAUCGAGGACCUCCACGUAAGCGGAGCGGUGCCGAAAUCGAUGAGCUGUUGAAAAACUAGAAGGCGUGCCCCGCGCCGGGAAAGACGAUGAGAAAGGCGCCGGAGCCGCUACUGAAGGUAUGGGAGACGAGGUCUGUGUUCUGGGACUUGGAGUACUGGCACAAACUUGAUACACCUCAUUGCCUUGAUCAAAUGCAUAUCUGUAAGAAUGUCCUUGAGAGCUUGCUUGCAACACAGAUGAACAUUCCGGAUAAGACCAAGGAUGGGCCGAAGGCAAGAAAAGACUUGCAAGAUUUGAAAAUCAGGGAAGAUCUGCACAUGCCGCCCCGUAAAAUGUCAGACGAGACAGAGACGGAGAUAGAGGCACGGGAGAAGAAGGGCAAGAAAAUAAAGAAAGAGGAUUAUUGCCCCCUUCUUGCUUCACCUUAAGUCAGACUGAGAUCGAUCAAUUCUUUAAGUGCCUUAUCGGAGUCAAAGUUAGUUCCGGUUACUGUGGUAAGAUAAACAGAUAUCUAGACACGGACAAGAAAAGGUUCAGCGGGAUGAAGUCCCAUGACUGUCAUGUGAUGAUGACGCAGAUACUACCUGUUGCCCUUAGAGGGAUAAUGGACAAGCACGUCCGUGACACGCUUAUUGGUCUCUGCAACUUUUUCGACGUCAUCUCUCAAAAGUCGAUCAGUGUGAAGCAGCUCCGAAGGCUACAUGAAGAGAUUGUUGUGAUACUGAAUGAGCUUGAGAUGUACUUCCCGCCCGCGUUCUUUGACGUGAUGGUGCAUCUGUGUGUCCAUAUUGUGGAUGACAUAAUAGACCUGGGGCCGUCAUUCCUGCACAACAUGACGCCGUUUGAGAGGGUGAAUGGGAUUAUCAAAGGAUUCGUUUGUAACAUGUCCCGUCCGGAUGGAAGCAUCGUCCAAGGCUAUGUGACACAAGAGUACAUCUCUUUCUGUGAGAAUUUCCUAUAUGGCGCAGACCAGCCGCCUAUUGUUAGUGUUGGUUUGCCUGUUAACAAGCACGAUGGGAGGCUCGAAGGAGAAGGUCACUUCAACGGUCGCAGGGAACUGCACGUGACAUACUCAGAUCGACGCAGCAACUGUGACAGAGCAAACUUCGUAGUGCUACAACACCUAUACGAGGUAGAUCCUUUCGUGGCACUCCACAAAGAAAUUAAGGCAAAGAAGUAUCGUGACCGGGGGGUAUGCAGGACGGACGCCAAAGUUACUAGAGAGCACAACUCCACUUUCUUGCAUUGGUUCAAAGAGCAUACUAUUGCUAAUCUCCCGGAGGAGGGCUCUAAGGACGAAUUGCUCAUAUACGCCUUAGCACAUGGCCCCUCACCCAACCUCGUAACCUAUCAGGCAUAUGAUAUCAACAGAUACACGUUCUACACGGAGGCCAAAGAUAUGGACAGUGAUGAUCAGAACUCAGGGGUGACGAUGGAAUGCAUGACCGGCAGCGACAACGGCGCAACUGAACGAUUUUAUGGAAGGGACGAGGAGAUCUGGGAGCUUGACUACUCUGGACUGCACAACAUGAGGAUGUUCCGUAUCAGAUGGGCUAAGAAUGUCGAAAGAGAAAACCGGAUUUUCACUACCAUGACUAUACCCGAUGCCAAGAGCGUUACCGUGGACGCUAUGAUCAGUACGGGUACACGCUAAGCACGUGACACAAUGCUUCUUCAAAACCGACCCAUGCAAUCCCGGUCGUGUUGUCGUGAGGAGAUGCAAAAGGAACAUCAUUGGAAUGGAUGGAGUCGCCAACGAGGAAGACUAUGAUCAGUACGGCAACCCAAUGAGGGAAGAUAACGAUGAUGAUGAAGUAUACGUCAAAACAAGAAUCAAUACUACAUUACCUAAGAAAAAUCGUACUCCAUGGAAAAGGCAAAGUCACAAUGAGGGGCUCAAUUAUUCUUCGACGAACAAGAAGGGAAAGAAGCUGACUCAAAACGUCAGCGCUGAGGAACCGUAUGUUAUCGGUCAAAUGAUGUAAUAUAUAUAUAUAUAUAUAUAUAUAUAUAUGUGUGUGUGUGUGUGUGUGUGUGUGUGUGUGUGUGUGUGCGUGUGUGUGUUCCUAUUUUGUAUACACACUUAGCCAUUAUUAUGCAUGGGUCCAAUGAUGUAAUAUAUAUGUUCCUAUUUUGUAUACAUAUUUAAACGUCAAAUGAUUCAAUAUAUAUCGCCUCCCCUUCGUUCACUGCUCUUAGGAAAUAAAAGUAGGAGAAAAUAAAGGAAAAGAAAAAGAAAAACUGGCAGUAGCGAUUUGCUUAUAAAACAUCUACAGUCAAGCUAGCAGUAGCGAUUUCCUUAUAAAACCGCUACAGCUAGUGAAGGUAGUAACAACACGUUUUAUCUAAACCGCUACAGCUAGUGAAGGUAGUAUCAGCGCGUUUUGUCUAAACGCGCUACUGCUACAUCCACUUAACCCAAAAUUCUCACUCUCCCUGCUUCAUCCCGCCUCUUUUCCCCCCAAAUCCCCACUCUCUCUUCCCUCAUCGCACCGCCGCGCCCCGGCGCUCGCCCCCGACCCGGCCCUCACCCCCGACCCCGGUGCUCGCCCCCGACCCGUCGGCCCUCGCCUCCCUCUUCUGCUUCCUACCCUCCCAACCUCGGCCAUCGUCGGGCCUGCCUCCUCACCCCUGCACCACCUGUAAACCCCCCCCUCUCUCUGCUAGCUAGGGUUCUUCGGUUAAUUUACAUAGGUUUUAGUUAGGGCAGUAGGUUAAUUAGGUUAUUUAUUUAGUUAUGAAUUUAGCUAGGUUUUAAAAUAGGACAGAAAUUUAAUGUUAAACAAUUGUAGUCAAAAGAAAAGGGUAGCAUUUAAGCAAUUGUCCAAAUCAACAUCCCUUGUUAAAGCAAAUUUAGGUAGGCUAAAUUUAUAUGCAAAUUUGAACUGGACAUGUGGUAUGUGGAUAUGUCAUGUUUUCGACAUGUCAUGUUUGGAAUUUGAACAUGUCAUUUGGACAUGUGAUGUUUUGGUUCAAUUUUGGUAAAUGAUCCGAGUGGCCUAUGUUAUGCCGGAAUGUUGAUUCAUUUCCGUUCCGGUGAAUUUCAGGCACUCGAUAUGUCCAUUUUUUAGCAAAGGUCAUGCCGAAAUUUGCCGUGAAUAAAGGCAUGAUUUGUGCUACAUAGUUGGCAUAUCGAGUGCUGGCACAUAGAUUUCUUUUUUAUGUCAUUUCUCAUUUAUUCAUACUUUUAGAAAUAAACAAGGACACUUAAUAAUAGGAAACAUGUCGAACAACGAAGAAACUGAGCCUUCUGACCAAGAUGCAGACGAGAUGGAUUAUGAGGGUGAACAAGAGUACCUCGACUAUUUGACUGCUAAGCAAGGUUUGCAGGUCGGCCUCGAUGAUGGUACUGACGCCGACAUCGACACCGACGGCGCCAGCACCGAUGGCGGCGCCGAGACCGGCGGGGAAGGUACCAGCGGGGAAGAUACCGGCAGGGAAGGUAUCGGCGCCGAUGCCGCUACCAAAAAGAGGAAGCAUAAGAAGCAGAGGAUACGAAAACCUAACAAACUAGGGAUUGGACGACUUGUGAUCACAAAGAUGGCACCUGGCAAGUUUGAGCCAUUAGAUCUAGAAGAACCUCGCAAGUGCUAUGGGAACCAAGUAGGAUGCAUCCUACGGGAAUGCGCGAGCAUCAACGACGAUGACUUAAGGAGUAAAGAACAUUUGACGCAGUUGCUCCUAAUGAAGUUGCACAAGAGAUUCAAGUUCCCCGACCGGGAUGAUAACAUAGAACACCCGUGGGAUGAUCCGAACAUGAAAAAGAUUAUCAAUCAUGCCAUGGGCAUGUUUAGCAAUGAUUUGGCCUCCUAGAAAGGGAGGGUGGAACGAGCUAUUGAGGCUGAGGAACCCAUGUCCAAGAUUCUGGAGGAAAAUCCGACACUUACGGAAGAGGAGUUCGAAAAGUUCAAGGACACUUGCGCUACUGAGGCAGCCAAGGCAAAGGCUGCGAAAUUCAAGAGCCUUCAGCAAAGGAACACGGGGAAGCAUCGCCUCGGAAUCCGUGGCUACCUCAGUAAAAGGCCCAUAUGGGAUAAGGAGGACGCGGAACGUGAAGCCGCGGGUCUCCCAGACCCCUUCGCAAAGUUCACCAACCCCUUGGAGCGUGACUUCAUCAGGGCCCGCUAUCAGCAUGCUAAUGACGAUAUGGAUGAUAUGCCCAGGCAGGAAGGUUGUUGGAAGGACUGCAAAAAGUCUCUUCAUGAAUUCCUCACAGGACACGCCUGAAGAUAUCGCCUCAACACAGGCUCAACUAGCCGGGGGUCGUACAAUGCUUAGCCCAGGAACACUGGGGCAGGGGUUAAGGAAGGGUCUGGAAGGUGUGCCCAAGAAAAAGGAGAGGAAGAGAUCGGGGAAGAUAACUGCCUCCAAACAAGCCAAAGCACAAAGCAGCCAGACGAUGCAUUCUGAAGAGUGUGUACCCGUGAAAGGUGCGGCCAUGUUCCAUCUCACGAGCGAGCCGAUGCUACCGCCAAAACCGCUGUAGGCACUAUCAGGGGAUCAUAGGAGACUGCACGACCAUGUGCUGUCGACUGAGAAAAGCGUACUAGCCUCAAAGGAUCCAGGAUAUCCGACAUACGCGGCUCGUGUGCCUAAGGGGAAGUGCUACGUCGAGACACGACCCGCGGAGGUGUUCUUCCUGCGGUUUGACCAUAUCUUUGAGAUGUUUCUGACAAGGCAGCUCGAUUUUACAAUCGUCCGCAUUUUUGCGCUACAUAUGAGCUCUGUCAUGAAGAGUGAAGAAGUCUCGCAAAUCUGUGUGGCGGAUCCGUACUACAUGCACGAGUAUUUCUUGAGUCUCGGCGACUUUGAGCGUGAAACUGCUAGGGAGUACCGCCAAAACUUCAUGGUACAGAAUAAGGACCGGGAAAUUGUCCUCGUGCCUUAUCAUCCAAAGUAAGUCAGUUCCGGACAACCCUUUCAUACAUUUCAAUCAUUCCUUCUCUCUCAUAUGGGGAACAAUUUGAGGUUUAUUUUCCCCGCAGCAACGGGCGCACCAUCCUUAUCGUUCUUUACCCGCAAGUCUCCCACGCCGUUUAUUUUGACCCUUCCAGAGACUACGAGAAAAAAGACUACACCCACAUAAUGAAUAUUCUAGACGAUGCUCUCCAAGGCUUCAGCAUUAAAGGUGGCCACAUGCAGAUCAGGAAAUAAAGGAACAAGAAGAUGGGUUUCACGCAUAAAACUAACUUCUCCCACAUCCAUAUCCCAAAACCAAGCUAGAAGGAUGGAUUCUACAUCGUCCAUCUCAUGAUUCAGUUCAACACGGAUCACCAAAAGCUUCGCUUAAGAAGCAGAAAUGAUGAUCAUAUCCACAAGUGGCUAGAAUCUCAUGGAGAAGCGGAUUAUAAACUUAUAGAUGACUUCUUUCACAUCCAAAGCGACAUUGCGAUGAUCAUCAUGAAAGAAGUCGUCGAUGAGAAGGGGAUGUUCCACCACGGCUCUAUAUCGCGAGCAGACGUCCGAACUUGCAUAGGCAUGCAACGUCUAGACCUCACGCCGUUCAACAAGCUAGGGUCCAUCCUCGAUGAUAUGGAAGGAUGGAACUUCUAGUGAUUUAUGAUGUCGAUGAUGAUGAUAUGUGUCGGUUGAACUUGUAUACUUUUUGUAGCGAUGAAACUUUUUGAUGUCCACGGCCCCUGCUGAACUUGCGUAACGCUACUUUGUCAGUUUGCGUAUGAUGACCUACGUACCUCUAGUUAAUUAAUUUGCGUUCUGUAUAUUGCAUCUAGUUGCUAACCCUUUCUUUUUCGGUGUUGCUCUAGUAUAUUUUGUUGCAUAUAUAUGAUUGUACAUCCUCUUCAUGAACAUGCAUCUCUAACAGGUACCUAGUUUCUCUAUGGCGAGAUGGAAGUGCUAUGUCGUGUACAAAGGGAAGGUUCUGGGGGUGUACAAUGAGUGGCAUGAGUAUCAGGCGCAAGUGAAUGGGUUCUCGGGCGCCAGCCAUAAAGUCUUCAAAAGCAGACAAGAAGGAGAAGCUAGUUACUUGAGGUUCACACUAGCGCGAGAGAGGACUCGUAACCGCCACCUCAUGUACUGCAUAGUUCCGCUCUCACUCAUAGUGAUAGCUCUUCUGCCGUAUACCUUUGUUUAGAUGGAUGACAUUGUAGUUGCAAGUAUUCGAGACUUGCAUGUAUCGCUAUUUUCGAGAUGAUGACAAGAUACCACUUUGUGUUGGAUGAUGAUUAUGAUGAGACUAUUUGUAUGUAUAUGCUAUGAUUACAUUUGUGGUCUCACAGGCAUUUGUAUGUGUAUCAUGAUGACAUUUGUAUGUGCUAAAGAUUCUUCUAUAAAGCCUGUUCAAAUACAAAACAAAUAUGCCGGAAAAAAACAAAAAAACUACUAAAAUUAGCAGUAGCGAGUGGAGAAAAGUUAGCAGCAGCGCAGUAGUAGCAGUAGCGCGCACAUGAGAAGCGCGCUAUAGCUAUUAGCAGUAGCGAGCUUCCAUUAAACGCGCUGCUGCUACACUUGUGUAGCAGUAGCGCUGGUGAGCAUGCGCUACUGCUACGUGUUAGCUAUAGCGCCUUAUUAGUAGCGCCGGUCCCCGCGCUACUGAUACACCUAAAACCCGCGCUGCUGCUAGCCUUUUCCCUGGUAGUGUUCGAGCUCCUCUUAAAUGCAGGCUUAUGGACCUAAAGUCACUUUAUCUGCCUGUGGGCCUACUGGGCCUCCUGCGGGCCUGAAUCCUGGCCCAUGCUAGGGUUUCUAGUCAUAUUCAGGUCGUGGGGCCCCAGUAGGUGGCACUUUUUUUUGUUUUCUUUGUUGCUUUAUUUAUUUUAUUUUGUUUCUACUUACAACAAAAUACUUAAUGUUGCUAUUUUUAUUUUUUCCAGUUUUUUUGUUUUGUUUUUUGCAUUUUUUUUCUUCUGCUUCUUGCUUUAUUUUUUAAUUCUUUUUGCUUUUAGGUCAGAAAAAUUAUAAACUUUCUGUUAGUGCCGUUAGUUUUCAAAUUUGAAUAGUUAAAAUUUGAAUUCUUUGAAAUUUGUGUGAAUCACAAGUUUGUGAUUAACUUUACUAUAAAAAUACUUUUUUUUUCCAUUCUUUGUUUUGUUUUUUGCAUUAUUUAUUUUCUUUUUUUUUGCUUUUUUAAAAUUCUUUUUGCUUUUAGGUCAGCAAAAAUAUAAACUUUCUAUGAGUGUCAUUAGUUUUAGAAAAUUUAUAAACUUUCUAUUAGUGCCAUUAGUUUUCAAAUUUGAAUAGUUAAAAUCUGAAUUAUUUGAAAUUUGUGUGAAUCACAAGUUUGUGAUUAACUUACUAAAAAUGAGCAUAGAGGCGCUUAUAGAGAAAAUUCAACCUAAAUUCAUAGUAAAUUUCUAUGAAUUUCAGAGAAAUUCACUCUGAAUUUAGGUUAAACUUUUCUCUAUAAGGGCAUCUAUUUUCACUUUGAGAGGAGCUCAACAAGGUAGAGAGGGAAGGGCUUAUAAACCGGUGUGAGCCCCUUUCGGUUGGCGAGGUGAGACUAAACUCGGCCCGCAACGAGGACCAACCCUUUAGUCCCGGUUUGUGGCACAAACCGGGACUAAUGGUCAUGGGCCAGGGGCGAGGAGCAUUGGUCCCGGUUGGUGGCACGAACUGGGACCAAUGCCCCCUUUAGUUCCGGUUGGUGAUACCAACCGGGACCAAAGGCCUUGUGCUGCCCCGCGUCAAAAGUUUAGUACCACAUCGCUAGCUGAGAGAGCUCGAGAGUGGUUUAUAAGCGCUGCUGCGCCCACCCUCUCGAGCUCCUCUCAAUUGUAGGCUUUCGGGCCUAACCAUACGUUGUGUGCCUGUGGGCCUACUGGGCCACCUGCGGGCCUGAAUCCUGGCCCAUGGUAGGGUUUGUAGUCGUAUUCAGGCCAUGGGGCCCCAGUAGGUGGCACUUUUUUUGUUUUCUUUGUUGCUUUAUUUAUUUUAUUUUGUUUCUACUUACAACAAAAUACUUAUUGUUUUUAUUUAUAUUUAUUUUAUUAAAGUUUAUUUUUAAUUAUUUUUCUUUUAGGACACAAAAAUUAUAAACUUUCUGUUAGUGCCAUUAGUUUUCAAAUUUAAAUAGUUAAAAUUUGAAUUAUUUGAUAUUUGUGUGCAUCACAAGUUUGUGAUUAACUUUACUUUAAAAAUAGUAUUUUUCCCGUUUUUUUGUUUUAUUUUUUGCAUUAUUUAUUUUCUUUUAUUUUUUCCUUUAUUUUUUAAUACUUUGCUUUUAGGUCAGAAAAAUUAUAAACUUUCUAUUAGUGCCAUUAGUUUUAGAAAAAUUACAAACUUUUUGUUAUUGCCAUUAGUUUUCAAAUUUAAGUAGUUAAAAUUUGAAUUCUUUGAAAUUUGUGUGAAUCACAAGUUUGUGAUUAACUUUACUAUAAAAAUAGUUUUUUCCCAGUUUUUUGUUUUGUUUUUUGCAUUAUUUAUUUUCUUUUGUUUUUUGCUUUAUUUUUUAAUUCUUUUUGCUUUUAGAUCUGAAAAAUUAUAAACUUUAUGUUAGUGCCAUUAGUUUUAGAAAAAAUAUAAACUUUCUGUUAGUGCCAUUAGUUUUCAAAUUUGAAUAGUUAAAAUUUGAAUAAUGGUAUUACGAGGGCCGAACCAUAAGACAUUAAAGCAUUUCGAAUGAACUCUGAAAAAGUUGAAAGUUGGCAUGGUAUCAUAAUUUCAUCCACAUAGCAUGUGCAUGUACAAAAUGGACAAUGGUAUCAUACUCGUCUGUUACAAAGUUGGCAUGGUAUCAUCAUAAUAGUUGCGGGAGAAAGUCUUCACUUUUUCUUUGCUUGUGUCAUUUGUUUAUUGUGCCGUAACCAUGGAUAAUCUUCAUCGUUUAUCAGGAUGCUUGGGUCAGCCUUGACUUUGAAGGGAGGAAUUGCAUGAAACUUUCAUAAUAUUCAGACAUGUCUGUCUUGCCCUCCACUCCCACGAUGUCCCUUUUUCCUGAAAGAACUAUGUGGCGCUUUGGCUCAUCGUAUGAUGUAUUCGCUUCCUUAUCUUUUCUUUUUCUCGUUUUGGUAGACAUGUCCUUCACAUAGAUAACUCGUGCCACAUCAUUGGCUAGGACGAACGGUUCGUCUGCAUACGCAAGAUUGUUGAGAUCCACUGUUGUCAUUCCAUACUUUGGGUCUACCUGUACCCCCCCUCCUAACAGAUUGACCCAUUUGCACUUAAACAAAGGGACCUUAAAAUCAUGUCCAUAGUCAAGUUCCCAUAUGUCCACUGUGUAACCAUAAUAUGUGUCCUUUCCCCUCUCGGUUGCUGCAUCAAAGCGGACACCGCUGUUUUGGUUGGUGCUCUUUUGAUCUUGGUCGAUCGUGUAAAAUGUAUUCCCAUUUAUCUCGUAUCCUUUGUAAGUCAAUACAGUCAAAGAUGGUCCCCUGGACAACAAGUACAGCUCAUCACAAACAGUGUUGUCACCUCUGAGACGUGUUUCCAACCAACUGCUAAAAGUCCUGAUGUGUUCACAUGUAAUCCAGUCGUUGCACUGCUUUGGGUGUUUGGAGCGCAGACUGUUCUUGUGUUCAUUGACAUACGGGAUCACAAAGGUAGAGUUCUGCAGAACUGUGUAGUGUGCUUGAGACAAAGAAUAUCCGCCCCUGCAUAUUAUUGAGGCCCCUCCCAGCGUGCCUUUUCUAGUCAGUCUCCCCUCAUACCACGAUUUAGGGAGACCUAUCUUCUUAAGGGAAGGAAUGGAAUCAACACAAAACCCAAUGACAUCCUCUGUUUGAUGGCCCAUGGAGAUGCUUCCUUCUGGCCUACCGCGGUUACGGACAUAUUUCUUUAGGAUUCCCAUGGACCUCUCAAAGGGGAACAUAUUGUGUAGAAAUACGGGCCCCAGAAUGACAAUCUCGAUGACUAGAUGAACUAGGACGUGCGUCAUGAUAUUGAAGAAGGAUGGUAGGAACACCAGCUCGAAACUAACAAGACAUUGCGCCACAUCACUCCUUAGCCUUGGUACGAUUUCUGGAUCGAUCACCUUCUGAGAGAUUGCAUUGAGGAAUGCACAUAGCUUCACAAUGGCUAAUCGGACUUUUUCCGGUAGAAGCCCCCUCAAUGCAACCGGAAGCAAUUGCAUCAUAAUCACGUGGCAGUCAUGAGACUUUAGGUUCUGGAACUUUUUCUCUGGCAUAUUUAUUAUUCCCUUUAUAUUCGACGAGAAGCCAGUCGUGACCUUCAUACUAAGCAGGCAUUCAAAGAAGAUUUCUUUCUCUUCUUUCGUCAGAGCGUAGCUGGCAGGACCUUUAUACUGCUUCAGAGGCAUGCCGUCUUUUUCGUGCAAACAUUGCAGGUCCUCCCGUGCCUUAGGUGUAUCUUUUGUCUUCCCAUGCACGCCCAAGAAGCCUAGCGGGUUCACGUAAAGGUUCUUCGUCACGUGCAUCACAUCGAUUGAAGAGCGGACCUCUAGGUCUUUCCAGUAGGGUAGGUCCCAAAAUAUAGAUUUCUUCUUCCACAUGGGUGCGUGUCCCUCAGCGUCAUUCGGAAUAGCUAGUCCGCCGGGACCCUUACCAACGAUUACGUGUAAAUCAUUGACCGUAGCAAGUACGUGAUCACCGGUACGCAUGGCGGGCUUCUUCCCAUGAUAUGCCUCGCCUUUGAAAUGCUUUCCUUUCUUUGACAUUGAUGGUUGGUCGAAACAAAUCUACGAUGGCCCAGGUACACAUUCUUCUUGCAUUUGUCCAGGUAUAUACUUUCAGUUUCUUCUAAACAGUGCGUGCAUGCGUGGUAUCCCUUGUUUGUUUGUCUUGAAAGGUUACUGAGAGCGGGCCAAUCGUUGAUGGUUACAAACAGCAACGCGUGCAGGUUAAAUUCCUCCUGUUUGUGCUCAUCCCACGUACGUACACUGUUUCCAUUCCACAGCUGUAAAAGUUCUAUAACUAAUGGCCUUAGGAACACAUCAACGUCGUUGCCGGGUUGCUUAUGGCCUUGGAUGAGAAUUGGCAUCAUAAUGAACUUCCGCUUCAUGCACAUCCAAGGAGGAAGGUUAUACAUACAUAGAGUCACGGGCCAGGUGUUGUGAUUGCUGCUUUGCUCCCCGAAUGGAUUAAUGCCAUCCGCGCUUAAACCAAACCAUACGUUCCUUGGGUCACUUGCAAACUCAGGCCAGUACUUUCUCUCAAUUUUUCUCCACUACGACCCGUCAGCGGGUGCUCUCAACUUCCCGUGUUUCUUACGGUCCUCACUGUGCCAUCGCAUCAACUUGGCAUGCUCUUCAUUUCUGAACAGACAUUUCAACCGUGGUAUUAUAGGAGCAUACCACAUCACCUUCGCAGGAACCCUCUUCCUGGGGGCUUGCUGUCAACAUCACCAGGGUCAUCUCGUCUAAUCUUAUACCGCAAUGCACCGCAUACCAGGCAUGCGUUCAGAUCCUUGUAUGCACCGCAGUAGAGGAUGCAGUCAUUAGGGCAUGCAUGUAUCUUCUGCACCUCCAAUCCUAGAGGGCAUACGACCUUCUUUGCUGCGUAUGUACUAUCGGGCAAUUUGUUAUCCUUUGGAAGCUUCUUCUGCAAUAUUUUCAGUAGCUUCUCAAAUCCUUUGUCAGCCACAGCAUUCUCUGCCUUCCACUGCAGCAAUUCCAGUACGGUACCGAGCUUUGUGUUGCCAUCUUCACAAUUGGGGUACAACCCUUUUUUGUGAUCCUCUAACAUGCGAUCGAACUUCAGCUUCUCCUUUUGACUUUCGCAUUGCGUUCUUGCAUUGACAAUGACCUGAUGGAGAUCAUCAUCAUCGGGCACAUCGUCUGGUUCCUCAUGAUCUUCAGCAGUUUCCCCCAUUGCAGCAUCAUUGGGCACAUCGUCUGGUUCCUCUUGAUCUUCAACAGCUUCCCCCGUUGUAGCAUCACCGUAUUCAGGGGGCACAUAGUUGUCAUCGUCCUCUUCUUCUUUGCCGUCUUCCAUCAUAACCCCUAUUUCUCGGUGCCUCGUCCAAACAUUAUAAUGUGGCAUGAAACCAUUGUAAAGAAGGUGGGUAUGAAGGAUUUUCCAGUCAGAGUAAGACUUGGUAUUCCCACAUUUAGGGCAUGGACAACACAUAAAACCAUUCUGCUUGUUUUCCUCAGCCACUUCGAGAAAAUCAUGCACGCCCUUAAUGUACUCGGAGGUGUGUCUUUCACCGUACAUCCAUUGCCGGUUCAUGUGCGUGCGUUAUAUAUAAUUAAGUGUGUCAAAAACCAUUACAGAACAUCAUGAAUAGAUAAUUAAGUGACCAAAUUAAUAGAAGUUCAUCAUAACAUUAAAACCAAAGUACAUACAUAGUUCUCAUCUAACAACAUAUAGCUCUCCAGAGCAUCUAAUUAAUUAAACCAUACAUUGAAACUAUGUAAAACAUUUCAAUGCGAAAAUAAAUGCGAUCAUAAUCGCAACUAAGGUAACAAUUGAUCCAACGGCAUAAUGAUACCAAGCCUCGGUAUGAAUGGCAUAUUUUCUAAUCUUUCUCAUCUUCAACCGCAUUGCAUCCAUCUUGAUCUUGUGCUCAUCGACGACAUCCGCAACAUGGAACUCCAAUAUCAUCUUCUCCUCCUCAUUUUUUUUAUUUUUUCCUUCAAGUAAUUGUUUUCUUCUUCAACUAAAUUUAACCUCUUGACAAUAGGGUUGGUUGGAAUUUCCGGUUCAACUACCUCCUAGAUAAAUAAAAUCUAUGCCAUGUUGGUCGGCAUAAUUGUCAUAAACAAUAAAUGAACCAAAUAGUUAUAAAAAGAUAAUAUAUACCACAUCCGAAUCAAAGCCAGGACGACGGCCGACGGAGGCGGAUACCAAAACCAUCACACUAUAUAAUAACAAGCAAUAAUAAAAGUAAGAAAAUUAGACAAUAUCUAUCUAAAGUAAGAAUUUUUCUUCUUCUAGAAAGAAGAUAAGAACAAGAGGCUCACCACAGUGGUGCCGGUGACGAGAUCGGUGCGGACGAUCAAUGGCGGUGAAGACGGGAAUGGGACGUGACGGGCCACUAAACCUAGAAAAAUCUCGAGGAAAAUGGAGCUUUGAGGUCGAGGAGAAAGCUUAACUAGUGUGGCUCUGGCCUUUCAUCGAACACCUCAUGUGCAUAGGAGGUGAGCUGGAGCACCACAAAGCCCUCCCCUCGCCGGCCAAAGAAAAACAGAGCACUGGGGUGCUCUGCUCGCGGGCGAGGGGUAUAUAUAGGCACCUCAUUGGUCCUGGUUCGUGGCAUGAACCGGGACUAAAGGGAAGCCUGUGGUCCCCGUUCAAGCCACCAACCGGGACCAAUGGUGGUGUGCCAGUAGCGAGGCCCAUUGGUCCCGGUUCGUCCCACCAACCGGGACCAAAGGGGCAUGACGAACCGGGACCAAUGCCCCCACGAGGCCCGGCAGGCCCCUGGCCUCAUGAACCGGGACCAAUGCCCCCACGGGUCCCGGUUCAGGUCCGAACCGGGACUAAUGGGCUGACCCGGCCUGAACCAAAGCCCUCUUUUCUACUAGUGUAGGCUGGACACACUUUCCUGGGUCAUGCCCGGCCUUGGAAAAUCAACACGUCGCAGCCCUACCUAGGCUCAACAGAGAGGUCAGCACGCCGGUCUAAAUCCUAUGCGUGCAGGGGUCUGGGCCCAUCGCCCAUUGCACACCUGCACGUUGCAUACGCGACCGGUGAGCAGACCUAGUAACCUCCAUUACAAUGGAAGUUAUGUUACACGGUCCAACCCGACGCGCGCCGCUCUAUUGCUGACGUCAAAAAGGCUUCGGCUGAUACCACGACGUCGAGUGCCCAUAAGUGUUCCCACAUAUUUGGUUAGUGCAUAUAGGCUAGAGGCCAGAGUCAGAUCAAAUACCAAGAUCUCGUUAAGUGUGUUAAUUGAUGUAACCGCGGCCGCCGACCAGGACCAGGCCCACAGAUGCAUAUCGAUGCAUCACUUGACAAGUAAUGGUUCCAGGUGUGCCCUAACGCAGUAGGAGGUGAUACUGGUGAAUGGGGGAAACAUCCAGGAAAGUAUCCCCGAUGUUUCACGUUUUUGGAUAGAUGAACCGAAGGGGAAAAGUUAUGUGUGCGCUAUGCUAGGGAUGUGUGGCGGGCGAACGGGCUACGUAUCCGGAUUCGUCUCGUCGUUCGGAGCAACUUUCAUGUACAAAGUAUUUUCAUUCGAGCUAUGAAUUAUUUUAUAUUAAUUUUUAAAGUUUUAAUUCAUUUUCAUGAGUUAACAUAUUAAAUUAAUCAAAAAACAUUUAUGAUGUCAUCAGGACAUAAGCAUGACAUCAUCGGCAACGCUGACCGUUGUCCGGUCAAACUGACGGGGUGGGGCCCGAUCGUCAUAGUCUUAGAUUAACUGAACAUGUUUUAAGAACCUAAUUACAUGAUUAGGUUAACUAAGUAGAGUUUAUUAGGUUAAUUGAUUUAUUUUCUAAUUAAUUAAUUUCAAUUCUUUUUUUUUGUUUAUAUCUUUUUUAAACGUUCUGGGGUGGGGCCCUUCUGUCAUAAGAAGGGGCAUAACAGGCACUGGGUUUCGGGUGCAGGGGCACGGCCACGAGCGCCCGACGGGACAAGCUCAGGCGCUGGCCUCGGGCGAGACCAGCGGCGCGAUGGUGGCCAGUCCGGCCGGCGGCAGUCGAGGCAGGCUGGGGGAGGCGGGGCGUCGGACCAGGCGGCGACGGCGAGGCAGGCGUGGGGCGGAGCCCCAAGGCGGCAAGCAGCUGGGUGGGGCCGAGGCAGAACGCGACGACUUGGCGAUGGAGGCGGGUGGAGGCGGGAGUGUGGUAGGGACGAGUGGACGGGCGCAGGAGAGGAGCAGUGGCGCCGGGGGGGAGUGGGGCGCGAGUGGGCAGAGCCGGGCGAUGUCGGCUGGCAACCAGGGAGGGAGCAGGGCAGCGGCAACUAGAGGAGGGAAACAGCGGAAGAGGCGGUUCGGCCCGGAGCCGCAAGGUGCGUGCGGGCCAUGCGAGUUGCAGUUCGGCAGCAGCAGUACAAGCACCAGCGGGCAUCAGCGCUUGCGGAAGCGAUGACACGCGGGCAGCUGCGAGCAAGCGGUGGCGGGUAGCAGCGAGGCCACACACAGGCGCGAGUGCACAGGCUGCAACAGCGAGCGGCAACAGCAGAAGCAGAGGCAGCAGCGCAGUUGCAGCGAGUAGUGGCGAACGGCAGGGAGCACGUCUGACGUGGCGAGUGCGCACAGGCGCGUGGUUUCCAGGAGGAACGGGGAGAGAGGAAGGGUGCGUGCUCACGGGCGGUGCCGGGACGACGGGUGGCGAGGGUCGGUGAGGACCGGCGGGGAGGAGAUCAUGACGGGGCGGCGAGGUCGAGGCAGUCUGGCACAACGAGGUGGAGGCCGUUGGGGAGGUGGACAGGGACACCAUGGCGGGCGCGAGAUCCACAGGCGGCAACGGCGCGGUCGGGGUUGGGGGGGGGGGAAUGUAUCCGGUGCACCCGCACUUGUGGUGCUACCGGUGCACCGGAUGCCAUAGAAUAUUUUUAAAAAUGUGAAAAAAAAUCUAGCAUGUUAACACAUCAUCAAUGUAUGAUGUCACAAAAAUUCGUACAAAAAUUUGAAAUAUUUUUUGAGCUACAAAAAUGACAAAUUUGACAUCAGUGUGAUAAUGGGCCAAACCUAAACCCAAGUUAUGUUAUGUACUAUUUAGUGUUGAAUUUGUCAUUUUUGUUUUUCAAGUUAUAUUUUGAAUUUUAACUUGAUUUUUUGUGACAACCUACAAUGAUGUUGUAUGAAUUUGCUAAAUUUAUGUCAGAUUUUUUUGAACAUUUUAAAAGCAUAAUGNNNNNNNNNNNNNNNNNNNNNNNNNNNNNNNNNNNNNNNNNNNNNNNNNNNNNNNNNNNNNNNNNNNNNNNNNNNNNNNNNNNNNNNNNNNNNNNNNNNNNNNNNNNNNNNNNNNNNNNNNNNNNNNNNNNNNNNNNNNNNNNNNNNNNNNNNNNNNNNNNNNNNNNNNNNNNNNNNNNNNNNNNNNNNNNNNNNNNNNNNNNNNNNNNNNNNNNNNNNNNNNNNNNNNNNNNNNNNNNNNNNNNNNNNNNNNNNNNNNNNNNNNNNNNNNNNNNNNNNNNNNNNNNNNNNNNNNNNNNNNNNNNNNNNNNNNNNNNNNNNNGUUUCGGGGUACUAGGGGAUAUGGGCAUGACUGGUGGGCCGGCCUAGUAGCCUGGUGGGCCGAGGCCCAUGGGAGAGGGGGUGGUCUUUUUAUUUUUGUGUUUUAGUUUUCCGUUUUACUUAUUUUCUUCUAUAUUUUAUUUUAUUGUUCAAUUCAUUUUUGUUUUUAAAAAUAUACAAUUGACACCUAAAAUAGUGUUGUAAUUUAAGCCUCUGUAAUAACAAGUUUGACUACUAAAGAGUACAAUUUCUUCUUUCAUAAUAAUAAAAAGGCAUUUAAUUAAAUUUAUAAAUAAUUAUUUUAUUUAUUUUUAAACAUGUAAACACAUUAUAAAAUGUGGUCUCUCCUCGAAUAUUUAUUAUGGAUUAUUUGCCACCUCUAGAACAUUUUAGUUUUAAUGUUUGAAAACUGGGUUUGAAUCAUCACGAGGUUAUUAACAGUAAUCGUGGUGACGUGGCAACAUUAUCAUAGGUUUAUUGUAGCUUUACUAUCAGGGCGUCACACACCAAGACAGAAUUCCCAUCACAAUGAUAUCGGACCGAUUCCACAGUACCCACGUGAUCCUAAAAAAUUGAGCGAAAACAGGAGAGUGAAGUCCAAACAUCUACGUCAGGACUCCUCGCCAGAGUGACAAAGUGGAUAAGGAAUAAAAAGAAGUCCUACUCUCCGAUAUAACUAAGAUUCAACAACGGCAGCGGUUCGAUCAAUCAAGGGGGAUCCUGCGGUCGGUAAGGCUCUAAUACCAAGUUGUAGCACCCAAGAUGCGAUUCUAUACAAAUCACGUGAUGAACUCACGAUCGGGGCACAAUCGCAUUUCGAGCGCAUAGCAAGGUGAAUAUCAUUACAACAUACCAUGUACUGAAUAGGUGAGAAUACAAGAUAAAUGCUUACACUCGCCACAUGCUACAACAUGAAUACAAUGGUUCAUGAAUACAUAGCAAGUAUCAUAUAGAAGAGCGGGAUCCGGCUACGGAUGAACACAAACGAAAAAGAAGAACACCAUCCACCCUGCUAGCCCAGGCUCCCGACCUGGAACCUAUUUCUCUUGGUCAAAGAAGAACUCCAAACAAGCAAGCAUCGCUCUCAAUCAUGAACAUCGCACAACUUGUACCUGCAAUUGUUGUUGUAGUAAUCUGUGAGGCACGAGGACUCAGCAAACCCAUUACCAUGGGUAUCAAGACUAGCAAAUCUUAAUGGGUAUGGAAAAGCAUAAGUGGUUAGGUUGCAGCAGCGACUAAGUAUUGUAUGGUGGCUAACUUACGAAUACAAGAGUAAGAUGAGAAAAUACACAAACGGUCGCAAACUAGUAACGAUCAAGAAGUGAUCCUGAACUACUUACGUUCAAACAUAACCCCACCGUGUUCUCUUCCCGAACCCACUUGAAAAUAGAUGAUCACGAUUACGCACGCGGUUGGUGUAUUUUAAUUGAGUUUAGUUUAAGUCCACUACAACUGGAUAUAAAAAAUUCCCAUCUGCCCAUAACCGUGGGCACGACUCUGGAAAGUUUAAACCUUACAGGGGUGUCCCAACUUAGCCCAUGAGAAGCUCAUGAUCUGCGAAGACAAUCCUCCAUCUCGGGACCCUCCGAUCAGACUAGGAAUCCCGAUGCACAAGACAUUUCGACAAUGGUAAAACAAGUCCAGCAAGACCUCCCGACGUGCCGAUACCCUGAUAGUAGCCACGCGUAUCUCGUCUCAGGCCAUGAUCGGAUUGGCUAAGUUUCCGGCUAGCACACCUGUUGGUGGCCCCGACUACUGCAAUUUUGAACCAAACUCAUGAGGACCACUAGCCCGGGUGGUUGAUUAAGUCCUCGUGGUCCAGAAAAUCCCUAUGCAAGUUUUUAGUUGUUAUAAGGCAAAUGGUAAAACCAAGGUUGGGCCUUGCUGGAAGAGUUUUAUUCAAAGCGAACUAUCAAGAGGGGCCCAUAAACCCUCACCGUGUUAGGGACGCAAAAUCAAGAAACAUAACACCGGUAUGACGGAAACUAGGGCGGCAAGAGUGGAACAAAACACCAGGCAAAAGGUUGAGCCUUCCACCCUUUACCAAAUACAUAGAUGCAUUAAUUAAAUAAGAGAUAUUGUGAUAUCCCAUGAUAUCCAUGUCCCAACAUGGAACAACCAGCAACUGCACCUGCAACUAGGAACGCUAUAAGAGGGGCUGAGCAAAGCGGUAACAUAGCCAAACAACGGUUUGCUAGAAUGGUGGAAAAGGGUAGAGGCUGUUUCAUAGCAUAUUGCGAGGCUGGAUAAACAAGCAGUAGAUAGCGCGACAUAGAGAUAGCACCGAGAGAACUAGCAUAGCAAAGAUACUAAUGAGAUCCAAGGUGACGGUCAUCUUGCUGCUACCUCUUUUAGCACUGCGUUGGUUUUCCCCGAAGAGGAAGGGAUGAUGCAGCAAAGUAGCGUAAGUAUUUCCCUCCGUUUUUUAGAACCAAGGCAUCAAUCCAGUAGGAGGCUACGCGCGAGUCCCUCGUACCUGCACAAAAUAAAUAAAUCCUCGCAACCAACGCAAAUAGGGGUUGUCAAUCCCUAUAAGGCCACUUACGAGAGUGAGAUCUGAUAAAUAUGAUAAGAUAAUAUUUUUGGAAAUUUUACGAUAAUGUGCAAAGUAAAAUAAAAACAAAGUAAAUAGAAAAGUACUAGGAGAUUAAUAUGAUAAAGAUAGACCCGGGGGCCAUAGGUUUCACUAGUGGCUUCUCUCGAGAGCAUAAGUAUUCCAUGGUGGGUGAACAAAUUACUGUUGAGCAAUUGACAGAAUUGAGCAUAGUUAUGAGAAUAUCUAGGUAUGAUCAUGUAUAUAGGCAUCACGCCCGAGACAAGUAGACCGACUCCUUCCUGCAUCUACUACUAUUACUCCCCUCAUCGACCGCUAUCCAGCAUGCAUCUAGAGUAUUAAGUUAAAAACAGAGUAACGCCUUAAGCAAGAUGACAUAAUGUAGAGGGAUAGACUCAUGCAAUAUGAAGAAAACCCCAUCUUGUUAUCCUCGAUGGCAACAAUACAAUACGUGCCUUGCUGCCCUUACUGUCACCGGGAAAGGACACCGCAAGAUUGAACCCAAAGCUAAGCACUUCUCCCAUUGCAAGAAAGAUCAAUCUAGUAGGCCAAACCAAACUGAUAAUUCGAAGAGACUUGCAAAGAUAACCAAUCAUACAUAAAAGAAUUCAGAGAAGAUUCAAAUAUUAUUCAUAGAUAGACAUGAUCAUAAUCCCACAAUUCAUCAGUCUCAACAAACACACCGCGAAAAGAAGAUUACAUCGAAUAGAUCUCCACAAGAGAGGGGGAGAACAUUGUAUUGAGAUCCAAAAAGAGAGAAGAAGCCAUCUAGCUACUAACUAUGGACCUGUAGGUCUGAAGUAAUCUACUCACACUUCAUCGGAGAGGCUAUGGUGUUGAUGUAGAAGCCCUCCGUGAUCGAUGCCCCUCCGGCGGAGCUCCGGAACAGGCCCCAAGAUGGGAUCUCGUGGAUACAGAAAGUUACGGCGGUGGAAUUAGGGUUUUGGCUCCAUCUCUGGUCGUUUGGGGGUACGUGGGUAUAUAUAGGAGGAAGAAGUACGUNNNNNNNNNNNNNNNNNNNNNNNNNNNNNNNNNNNNNNNNNNNNNNNNNNNNNNNNNNNNNNNNNNNNNNNNNNNNNNNNNNNNNNNNNNNNNNNNNNNNNNNNNNNNNNNNNNNNNNNNNNNNNNNNNNNNNNNNNNNNNNNNNNNNNNNNNNNNNNNNNNNNNNNNNNNNNNNNNNNNNNNNNNNNNNNNNNNNNNNNNNNNNNNNNNNNNNNNNNNNNNNNNNNNNNNNNNNNNNNNNNNNNNNNAGCAACAGGGGGGCCCAUGAGGGUGGAGGGCGCGCCUGGGGGGGGGGGGGGCAGGCGCGCCCCCUACCUCGUGGCCUCCUGUUAGUUGGUUUGACGUAGGGUCCAAGUCUCCUGAGUUGUAUUCGGUGAGAAAAUCACGUUCCCGAAGGUUUCAUCCAUUUGAACUCCGUUUGAUAUUCCUUUUCUUCGAAACCCUAAAACAGGCAAAAAAACAGCAAUUCUGGGCUGGGCCUCCGGUUAAUAGGUUAGUCCCAAAAAUAAUAUAGAAGUGGAUAAUAAAGCCCAAUAAUGUCCAAAACAGUAGAUACUAUAGCAUGGAGCAAUCAAAAAUUAUAGAUACGUUGGAGACGUAUCAAGCAUCCCCAAGCUUAAUUCCUGCUCAUCCUCAAAAUAACAUGGCUAAAUAAAGUUAUCCCUACAAAAUCAUAUAGUCUGGCUAUGCUCUAUCUUCACCACACAAAAUAUUUAAAUCAUGCACAACCCCGAUGACAAGCCAAGCAAUUGUUUCAUACUUUUGACAUUCUCAAAACUUUUUCAAUCUUCACACAAUGCAUGAGCGUGAGCCAUGAAUAUAGCACUAUAGGUGGAAUAGAGUGGUGGUUGUGGAGAAGACAAAAAGGGGAAGAUAGUCUUACAUCAACUAGGCGUAUCACUAGGCUAUGGAGAUGCCCAUCAAUAGAUAUCAAUGUGAGUGAGUAGGGAUUGCCAUGCAACGGAUGCACUAGAGCUAUAAGUAUAUGGAAGCUCAAAAAUAAACUAAGUGGGUGUGCAUCCAACUUGCUUGCUCAUGAAGACCUAGGGCAAUUUUGAGGAAGCCCAUCAUUGGAAAAUACAAGCCAAGUUCUAUAAUGAAAAAUUCCCACUACUAUAUGAAAGUGAUAACAUGAGAGAGUCUCUAACAUGAAGAUCAUGGUGCUACUUUGAAGCACAAGUGUGGUAAAAGGAUAGUAACAUUGUCCAUUCUCUCUUUUUAUCUAAUUUUUUUAUUUUUAUUUUUUUCAUUUGGGACUUUUCUCUUUUUUAUGGCCUCUUUUCUUUCUUUUUUUAUUUUUUCGUCCGGAGUUUGAUCCCGACUUGUGGGGGAAUCGUAGUCUCCAUCAUCCUUUCCAACACUUCUAUUUUUCUUACAACUCAACAAUUACAACUCGAUACUUAGAACAAAAUAUGACUCUAUGUGAAUGCCUCCGGCGGUGUACCGGGAUAUGCAAUGAUUCAUGAGAGACAAGUAUGAAAGAAUUAUGAACGGUGGCUUUGCCACAAAUACUAUGUCAACUACAUGAUCAUGCUAGGCAAUAUGACAAUGAUGGAGUGUGUCAUGAACGGAACGGUGGAAAGUUGCAUGGCAAUAUAUCUCGGAAUGGCUAUGGAAAUUCCAUAAUAGGUAGGCAUGGUGGCUAUUUUGAGGAAGGUAUUUGGAGGGUGUAUGAUACCGGCGAAAGGUGCGCGGUAUUAGAGAGGCUAGAAAGGGUGGAAGGGUGAGAGUGCGUAUAAUCCAUGGACUCAACAUUAGUCAUAAAGAACUCAUAUACUUAUUGCAAAAAUCUACAAGUUAUCAAAGCAAAGUAUUACGUGCAUGCUCCUAGGGGGAUAGAUUGGUAGGAAAAGACCAUCGCUCGUCCCCGACCGCCACUCAUAAGGAAGAUAAUCAAUAAAUAAAUCAUGCUCCGACUUCAUCACAUAACGGUUCACCAUACGUGCAUGCUACGGGAAUCACAAGCUUCAACACAAGUAUUUCUCAAAUCGACAACUACUCAAAUAGCAUGACUUUAAUAUCACCAUCUCCAUAUCUCAAAACAAUUAUCAAGUAUCAAACUUAUCAUAGUAUUCAACACACUCAUAAGAAAGUUUUAUUAUUAAUCUUGUAUACCAAGCAUAUUAGGAUUUUAAGCAAAUUACCAUGCUAUUAAGACUCUCAAAAUAAUCUAAGUGAAGCAUGAGAGAUCAGUAGUUUCUAUAAAACAAAUCCACCACCGUGCUCUAAAAGAUAUAAGUGAAGCACUAGAGCAAAAUUAUAUAACUCAAAAGAUAUAAGCGAAGCACAUAGAGUAGUCGAACAAAUUCCAAAUCAUGUAUGGCUCUCUCAAAAGGUGUGUAAAGCAAGGAUGAUUGUGGUAACCUAACAAAUAAAGACUCAAAUCAUACAAGACGCUCCAAACAAAACACAUAUCAUGUGGUAAAUAAAAAUAUAGCUCCAUGUAAAGUUACCGAUAGAAGUAGACGAAAGAGGGGAUGCCUUCCGGGGCAUCCCCAAGCGUUGGCGUUUAGGUGUCCUUAGAUUAUCUUGGUGGUGCCAUGGGCAUCCCGAAGCUUAGGCUCUUGCCACUCCUUGUUCCAUAAUCCAUCAAAUCUUUACCCAAAACUUGAAAACUUCACAACACAAAACUUAAAGUAGAAAAUCUCGUGAGCUCCGUUACCAAAAGAGAAUAAAAGACCACUUCAAGGUACUGUAAUGAUCACAUUCUUUAUUUAUAUGGGUGUUAUAAAUAAUGUAUUCCAAGUUCUCUAUGGUUUAUAAACUAAUUUACUAGCCAUAGAUUCAUCAAAAUAAGCAAACAACACACGCAAAACAGAAUCUAUCAAAAACAGAACAGUCUGUAGUAAUCUGUAGCUAGCGCAAGAUCUGGAACCCCAAAAAUUCUAAAAUAAAUUUCUGGACGUGAGGAAUUUAUCUAUUAAUCAUACGCAAAAAUAAUUAACUAAAUAUCACUUUCCAAAUAAAAAUUACAGCAGUUCUUGUGAGCGCUAAAGUUUCUGUUUUUUACAGCAAGUUCAACAAGACUUUCCCCAAGUCUUCCCAACGGUUCUACUUGGACAAACACUAAUUAAACACAAAAAAACACAACCAAAACAGAGGCUAAAUAAUUUAUAUAUUACUAAGCAGGAGCAAAAAGCAAGGAGUAAAAAUAAAAUUGGGUUGCCUCCCAACAAGCGCUAUCGUUUAACGCCCCUAGCUAGGCAUAACAAGCAAGAAUAGAUCUAGGUAUUGCCAUAUUUGGUAGGAAAUUCUUCAAUGAGGCAUAUACCAUCUUUAAGAAUUUAUUUAUUUUUAUUGAUUAUCAAACUUUUAGGCACAAGAUCGAAAAAUUCAUUUGUAACAAAUGGUUCCUUAAUGCUAGCAAAAAGAUUGGGAUGAACACUAAUAGAUUUGAGAUCUGCAUUUUCCUUACUAGAUGAUUCACCCUUAUUUUUAGAAACGUAUAUAAUCUUGGCAAUUUUAGUGGGAAGGACUUGGAGUAUUCUUCACAUAAGAAAAAGCGGUUCCCAAGUUGGUAAUAAUAUUCUCAAGUUUAUCGAUCCUAACAGAAUCGUGAUUUAUUUUCUCGUUAACUAUGGGUUCCUUUUAUUUAAUAUCUUUCAAAGUAACUCCUACUUUAGAUCCAUGUUGAGAGAUUCGGCUGUGGAUAUUUUUAUCCAAAUUUUCAAUUAACUCUAUGGUAGCAACCUUAUUUUCAAUAAUCUCAAGCCUUUGCAUUACAUGCUCCAAAGUUAAUAUAGUUCCAUUAACCAAGAGAGGGGGUGAGCCAAAUAAAUCUAACAUAGCAUUAUAAGAAUUAAAAGUAUGGCUAUCCAAAAAGUUCCCUCCGGUAAUAGUAUCAAGAACAUAACGGUGCCAAGGAGUAAUGUCUACAUAAAAAUUGCGAAGGAGAAUGGUAGUAGAUUGCUUCCAAGUAGAUCUAUUUUGAGCAUUGCAAAUUCUAUACCAAGCAUCUUUUAGAUUUUCACCCUCCCUUUGCUUAAAUUUUAGAAUUUCAUUCUCGGGAGACAAGGAGAAGAUAAGGGACUAGCCAUAACGACAAGCAAGCACACAAAAAGCAAGCGGACAAAAAGGGGCAAAUAGAGAAAGAGAGGGAGGAUAGAGAGAGAGAGGGCGAAUAAAACGGCAUGGGUGAAUUGGGGGGAGAGGAAAACGAGAGGCAAAUGGAAAAUAAUGUAAUGCGGGAAAUAAGGGUAUGUGAUGGGUACUUGGUAUGUUGAAUUUUGCGUAGACCUCCCCGACAACGGCCCUAGAAAUCCUUCUUGCUACCUCUUUUAGCACUGCGUUGGUUUUCCCCGAAGAGGAAGGGAUGAUGCAGAAAAGUAGCAUAAGUAUUUCCCUCAGUUUUUGAGAACCAAUGUAUCAAUCCAGUAGGAGGCUACGCGCGAGUCCCUCGUACCUGCACAAAACAAAUAAAUCCUCGCAACCAAUGCAAAUAGGGGUUGUCAAUACCUAUAAGGCCACUUACGAGAGUGAGAUCUGAUAGAUAUGAUAACAUAAUAUUUUUGGUAUUUUUAUGAUAAAUAUGCAAAGUAAAAUAAAGGCGAAGUAAAUAGCAAAGUAAAUAACUAAGUAGUAGGAGAUUAAUAUGAUAAAGAUAGACCCGGGGGCCAUAGGUUUCACUGUUGGCUUCUCUCGAGAGCAUAAGUAUUCUAUGGUGGGUGAACAAAUUACUGUUGAGCAAUUACAGAAUUGAGCAUAGUUAUGAGAAUGUCUAGGUACGAUCAUGUAUAUAGGCAUCACGUCCGAGACAAGUAGACCGACUCCUGCCUGCAUCUACUACUAUUACUCCACUCAUCGACCUCUAUCCAGCAUGCAUCUAGAGUAUUAAGUUAAAAAUAGAGUAACGCCUUAAGCAAGAUAACAUGAUGUAGAGGGAUAGACUCAUGCAAUAUGAAGAAAACCCCAUAUUGUUAUCCUCGAUGGCAACAAUACAAUACGUGCCUUGCUGCCCUUACUGUCACCGGGAAAGGACACCGCAAGAUUGAACCCAAAGCUACGCACUUCUCCCAUUGCAAGAAAGAUCAAUCUAGUAGGCCAAACCAAACUAAUAAUUCGAAGAUACUUGCAAAGAUAACCAAUCAUACAUAAAAGAAUUCAGAGAAGAUUCAAAUAUUAUUCAUAGAUAGACUUGAUCAUAAACCCACAAUUCAUCGGUCUCAACAAACACACCGCAAGAAGAAGAUUACAUCGAAUAGAUCUCCACAAGAGAGGGGGAGAACAUUGUAUUGAGAUCCAAAAAGAGAGAAGAAGCCAUCUAGCUACUAACUAUGGACCCGUAGGUCUGAAGUAAACUACUCACACUUCAUCGGAGAGGCUAUGGUGUUGAUGUAGAAGCCCUCCGUGCUCGAUGCCCCCUCCGGCGGAGCUCCGGAACAGGCCCCAAGAUGGGAUCUCGUGGAUACAGAAAGUUACGAUGGUGGAAUUAGGAUUUUGGCUCUGUCUCUGAUCGUUUGGGGGUACGUGGGUAUAUAUAGGAGGAAGAAGUACGUCGGUGGAGCAAAAGGGGGCCCACGAGGGUGGCGGGCGCGCCUGGGCACUACUAGGGAAAAGCCUAGCAGCAGCACAGUUUUGGGCCUCUCAGUAGCACGGGGACCGGCGGUACUAAUAAGGCGCUACAACUAACGUAUAGCAGUAGCGCCUAUUGUCACACGGUACUGCUAUAUAGGAAUAGCUGUAGCGCUAUUUAGAAAAGGGUGCUGCUGAUAUUAUCUGCAGCGCUGUUUACUGGGAAGCACUACUAGUAAGGCGGCGCUACUUCUAAAUUUCCCCCACUCGCUACUACUAGUUUUGUUAGUUUUUCCCUGCAUAUUUGUUUUGUAUUUGAAUAGGCUUUAUACAAUAAUCUUUAGCAUAUCAUACACAUACAAAUGUAAUCAUAGCAUAUACAUACAAUUAGUAUCAUCAAAUCAUGUCAUCAUCAUAAUCAUCAUCCAACACAAAGUGGUCUCUCGUCAUCAUCUCAAAAAUAGCGAUACAAGUCUCGAUUACUUGCAAAUACAUCGUCAUCCAUCUAAACAAUGAUAUAUGCGAGAAGAGCUAUCAUUUUGAGUACAUGAGUUCGUAUCCCUCUCUCGCAUUGCCGUGAACCUAAACUAACUACUGCAUAUCGCUCGGAAACCAGAAACCGGUACACCUGGGCCUGACACUCCGGCCACUUGUCCUAUAUAUACUCCUGGUGUAGCACUUCUUCGCCAUCUAUGAUCUAUGCACCUACAUCGUCACAUGAGUUGAUGAUAUGCAACAUAUAUAGUUGAGCAACAGAAAGAGACAUAUUUUGCAAAAAUAGAAACAACAUAUCAUAAGCAUAAAUAACAAAGUUCAUCGUACCCCAAAAUGCCCUAACUAGAGUGAUUUUCGCUAGUCGAGGAGGAGGACGAUUUAAUUACAUCACAAAUAAAGUUUCACCAUGCAUAACUCAAAGUUUUGUCAUACAGAAAGUAUGGACUAAACGGACACAUUGUCAUAUAUCGACAAUCACUCCAACAUGUCGUUCCAUCCAUCCAAGUCAGGGAGGUAGUCCUCGAGCUUAGUGAAAGGCUUCAUGUCGAGACGCCGAGAGGCUAUCCAUGUUCGGACGUCUUCCCGUGACAUUUGUCCUUCUCCGUAGAACAUCCCUGUUUUUCCGACGACCUCCUUCAUGAUGAUUUGGCAAGUUCGCGCUGGAUGUUAUAGAACUCAGCUCGAAGUCGAUGAUCCUCGAUAUCUCCUACGCCCUUUGCCCAUUGCAGAAUAUGGGCAUCGCCGGAUCUAGGUGACAUGCGAAGGUUCUGGUGAUCCCGUCUGUACUCCAUCAUGUGGUGUAGGACAUAGAAUCCAUCAUUAAGAGAAUCGUUCAGUUGUUGGAUGCAGCAGAAGUCGGUCUUAUGGUCGAAGGCGGCCCUGCCGCCCCAUCUCUUCUUCUCCCUGACCUCUCCACCCCUUGCUUGGUAGUAAAACAUAGAACUAUUGAGAACAUCCUUGAUGUGGGUGUAAUACUUUUUGUGAAUGUUCUUCGAUGAGUCCAAGUAAAGAGCGUGGGAGAAUCAGGGUAGAGGAUGAUGAGGAUGGCGCGCCCGCCGCUGCGCAAAAUAAGUAGACCUCAAAUUAAUUAGCCUCCACCAUGCAAAUGAAUGAUUGAAAUUGAAGGAAGGAUAGAAGUGCAGAUGACUUACACGGGAUGAUAAGGCACGAGAAUCGCCUCAUUGUCCUUAUUGGCGAGCAUGAAAUUGAGGAUGUAAUCCCUCGUGUAUUCACGGUGCUUUGCGCAGACUCCCAAGAAGCUCUCGUGCAUGUAGUACGGGUCAGCGACACAGAUAUGAGAUAUGUGCUCAACCCCGAUGAUGUAGUUCAUGUGCAAGGCAUAAAGGCGGACAAACAUAAAAUCCAGCUUCUUCACGUGAAACAUGUCGAAUAUGUAAUCGAAUCAAAGGAAGAACUUAUCCGUGGGGAAGCUGUCGACGUACGACAUUUGCCGCAGAACGUUAACCACGUAGAGUGUGUAUCCUGGAUCUUUCGAGGCCAUGAGUCCUUUCUCUACCUGCAGGACAUCGUCAUGAAGUCUCCUUAGAUCGCCGAAUCUGACCCGUAGCGCCGUUGCAGGUAGGAUUGGUUGACCGGGGAUAUGCCAUUUAUCCGCAUCAGGGAUAUCUAUAUGGUCCUGAAGCCGAGGCUGCUAAGGCGGCUGGAUCAUAGAAUCACCUUUUUUUCCUUUCCUCACUCUCUUCCUAGACUUCUUUACUACCGGAAGGUCGUCCAUAAUACGUUCAUACGGCAAUUCAGGCACCGACUCAUGAUGCUCAAACCCUGAGGAGGCGCCAGUAUAGACAUACUGUUCAGAGCCAUCGUCAUCCUCAUCCUCAUCCAUGGCGACGUCAUCAGCGACUAAUGGAGCCUCCUCCUUACCCCGUCCGCUAUCAACCAACCCGACACCCGACGCUAAUUGGGUAGGUGGGGUGUUGAUGUUCAUACCUUGCUGAGGCUGUGUGCUCGUGGGUGUGCUCCCGGCCGCCUCCAGAUGAAGCAGACUCUUUGGCCACAACAGGACCCACCCAUUAUUGCAAAAAUUACCAAGCCGCCGCGGUGUCUCGUCAUCAUCCCCCACUAGUAUUGGAGGAGGCAAAUUCUCGUGGCCCGGUUUGACACUGGCCACGGAAACCUUGAUGACGUUCGGGGGGAUCGGCCGGCUCUGGAACAAUGGUUCCUUCGGCUCCAUUAUCGUCGCCUUCCCCACGUCCACCUUCUGGUCGCCGAUGGUGUACAAUAUGGUGCACGGGGUUUCGUUGGCCUGCAAAGAAAAGUCUGGGACAUGAGACAUCUGAAAGGCAACGAAAACGGGAGAUUAUACAUUUAUAUUGAAGGGGUCCGGUGUGACAGAUACCGUGAGGGCGUCGAGCUCAGCCAAAGACGAAGCACCACCGAGCACGUCCGGUGUGGGAGCCGGUGUGGGAGCAAGUGCUGGUGCAACGCUAGUCGAGCUGCUCCCCAAGAAGUCAGCAAGGGGAAAGUCUUCUGCAUUUUUUUUUCUGGAUUUUGCCUUGUCCAAGUGAAAACGCCCAUCACCAAGGAAGUAGACAAAUAUACAACCACCUGUUUUGCGGCAGCUACCGCUGUUGUGACUGUAUGAGAUGAUUUCUUCUCAACCGCAAUCUCAACCUUCUUGUCGAUGUUUUCUUCAGUUAACCUCCGUCUUUCCUUUCUCUCCUCCAUGGUCUCACGAUAGUACUUCUUCCAUGUGGCGCCGUCUCUGACACCGUGCACGCGUCAUACAAUGGUCGAGUAUCCACCGGUUAUCGUUUCAAUAUGUUCAACGCCCGGUUGAAUGGAGUGUCCCACUUGGGCCUCGCCAAUGCAUUAGACGGCGAGUCGCUUUCGGCCGCAAUCCGGUGCUGCUCUCUCUGGAAAAGGCACAAGGAUUGUUUACAAAUAUGACUAACGUGUGCAGUCGAAUUGAUCAGAAACUAAAAUUACCAGCAGUCUCAUGAACUCCGUAAUGACCGGUUUUGUCUCGUAAACCUUCUUCACUGGGUCCCAACGGUGCCGGGCCCUAAGUACGUCACGCUCCUGCGGGAUAGUGAAAUCCGCCAAGGGGUCUGGGAUGCCUAGACUCGCGGCUUCCUUGGCCCAUUUGGACCUCUCUCCGCCGUAACUACGGCUUCCGAGGUGGUGGCUCCCAAUGUUCCUCUCUUGAAGCCCCUUCAUGUACUGAGACUUUUUUUGGCAGGUUCGGCCUCGCAAGCGUCCUUGAAUAUUUGAAACUGUUCUUCUGUGAUUGUCAGAUUAUCCUUUACAAUCUCGGAGUAGGGUUCCUUCUUGUCGAUGAUCUUUGCUUUCACUCGAUUUUUCCAGGCGGCCAACGCGUCGCUAAACUUGGUCAUGGCGUGUUUGUUUAUCUUCUUCAUUGCCGGGUCCUCAUCUGGAUCUUCAUAAUCCUUCUCAUUCCGGCCCAGGAACAAUAAUAUCUGGUGAAACUUCUUUAGGAGGGAGCUCCUCAUAUUUUCUAUCUUCUGUAGUUUCUCAUCGUUGAUGGUGGCGGUUGUCCGUACGAUGCAGCCUAUUUGAUUGUCGUAGCAUCGACGCGCUUCCUCGGGCGCCUUUGGCUCAAAAUUGCCAUCGUCCAUCUCCGUGACCACCAGUCUAGUAGUCCUGAGUUUGUUAGGAGGUCAUUGCCUCUUUGCUUUCGAUUCUACACCGGCUCCGCUCCCCGGGGCAGCGCCGGUCUCAGUCUCAGCACCAGUCUCGAUGCCGGUCUGAGUCUCAGCGCCGGUCUCAGUCUCACCAUCGGUCUGUGUGUCGGCAAGGCUAAAAAAUUCGUCUGCCGCCCGGUAGACGUCGUUGCAAUCACCAGAACCAUGUCCUUCAUCGUUGCUAGCCAUGUUUCCUACGAUUAAAUCUAGUCAAUUAAUUCUAGACCUAAUAAAAUGAAUAAUGACAUAAAAAAGGCCUAUUGUUUUGUAGGAACGUUGACUCCUUCUCGGUGCGGCAAAUCCCGGCCACUCGAUAUGUCCUAGUUUGUAGCACAAGUCAUGCCGAAAUUCAUGGAAAAUUUCGGCAUGACCUUUGCUAAAAGUGGACAAAUCGAGAACCUGAAUUUUGCCGGAACGGAAAUGAAUCAACAUUCCAGCAAAACAUAGGCCACUCGGCUUCAUUCCCUGGAAACAACAAAAGUCCACUUGGGCACAAUCGAACCACUUCAAUGUCGAUUAUGAUCAAUGAGCAAACACAGCUGAGGAUUUUUCAUAUAUGAUGACCACUUCAAAUUUGCAUCUCCUAGUGAUUGACACUUCAAGAAAAUCUACACAGAUCUCAUGCUCUCUGAAACUCAAUUCAAAAACCAAAUAUAGAUGGAUGAACCCUAGAACUCAAAUUACGAACCUAGAACUCAAAUUAUGUCCUAAAUUUUUGUCCUAAUAAAAAUUCACUAAAAAUUAAGAACCUACUAGACUGGCAACACUAAAUCCUACCACCCUAGUUAACAUCUAGUUAAACCUUACUUUCCUAAUAUUUGUAAUUAAACACUACAACCCUAACCCUACUGCCCUAGUUAAGCAUAUACAAUUUUUUCCUACGGCGAGGGAAGCAAGGGCGUCUCUGUCAAAGACCUAUCUAAAUUCUUUUCCUAACUAAAUUAACCUAACAAAAUUCUUUUCCUAACUAAAUUAACCUAACAAAUUUAGAGAGAGAGGAGGGGUGGGGGCUUACAGAGGAUGGCUCUGGUGGUGGCGAGGGAGGCAGGGGCGUCUCCAGUGACGGCGACGGAGGAUCCGGUGGCGUCGACUGCGGCUCUGAUGGCGUUGAUAUAGCCGCGCGGCUCCGGUGGCGUUGGAGGCGGCUCUAAUGGCGUCGAUGAUGCACAGCUCUGGUGGCUCCGGGGGACUCGACGUCGGCAGGAGACGGCGGCGAAGUAGGGCGACGACGAAUUGGGCAGACGGGGGCGGGGUGGGUCGAGGGAUUUGGGGGAGAAGUGGUGGCCAGGGCGAAACGGUUUUUUUGGUUAAGUCAAACUUAGCGGUAGCGCUUUUCGCGAAACACGCUAUAGCUAAGUUAGCUAUAGCGAUUUUCACAAAACGCGCUACUGCUAUAGCUAUGUAAUUCCCUUCAUAUUUCUUAUUUCCUUUUCUGUUUCUACAGCGGGGGUCUAGGAAACGCGCUGCAGCUACAUUAGCUAUAGCGCCUCUUACGAACAAACGCUACUGCUACGCCUUUCUCCUUUUUUCGCUUUUUCAUUUAUUUUGCUCUACAUUUUAUUUUUUCCUUUUUCCUUUUUCUAUUUCUUUCUUUUUCAUUUACUUUUCCAUUUGUUUUUUCAUUUCAUUUUAUUUCCAUUUGCAGUAGCGCUCUCCGCACGAAACGCGUUGCUACUUAUGUCCUAGCGGUAGCGCGCUUCUCUCAAGACUGCUACUGCUAUGCGUAGCCUAUCAUUUUGGCAAUGGGAAUAUUAGUCGUAGCGCUUUUUCAUGUGCACGUGCUACUGAUACUAUUGUAUCUGUCGCGGUGUUCGCAUGCGCGCUACUGCUACUUACCACUAGCGCCCGUUUUUGUCACGCGCUACUCCUAAAUUUUUGUGUAUAAGGUUUUCCCUAGUAGUGGGGGGGGGGGGCAGGCGCGCCCCCUACCUCGUGGCCUCCUGUUAGUUGGCUUGACAUAGCGUCCAAGUCUCUUGAGUUGUAUUCGGUGAGAAAAUGACGUUCCCGAAGGUUUCAUUCCGUUUGGACUCCGUUUGAUAUUCCUUUUCUUCGAAACCCUAAAACAGGCAAAAAACAACAAUUCUGGGCUUGGCCUCCAGUUAAUAGGUUAUUCCCAAAAAUAAUAUAAAAGUGGAUAAUAAAGCCCAAUAAUGUCCAGAACAGUAGAUAAUAUAGCAUGGAGCAAUCAAAAAUUAUAGAUACAUUGGAGACAUAUCACUUGCCUAAAAUCCUGCUAGGAAGAAGACUGAAUCCAUGAAGUAGACGAACUAAUGCAGUCGAAGGGAUCCUCACAAUCGCAAUGUUACCGAAACUAUCAAGAAGAAGCGCAACCGGAAAGAAUCAAGCAUCAUGGUAAACAAACAAGCAUAAACAUGGCAUGAUGCACAACCAAGUAUGAUGCAUGUCCGGUUUGAUGAGGCAUGACAUGGCAAAGUGCAACAAUAAAAUACUACAAAUUAAGUGGAGAAUUUUAAAUGAGGCUGGAACAACAAACAACAAUUCUGGAAAAUCCUCAUAUGCAUAUUUCGAAUUUGGUACUGUUCUGCUAUAAACCAUAUUUUAUUAUCGUUAAAUGGGAAUAAAGUACACCAAGUUAAUCUAUGCAUUUUUUACCCCAUUUACAUAUAAAGUUUAUAUAAUUCGAAUGUAUGGUUAAUUAGUUAUGAAAUAACUUUUAACAAGGCAUUUAGCAAAUUAAAUGCAAACAACAAUUUAAACACUUGAAACAUGGAUGAAAGUUGGAUAUUACGAAACUAGAUGAAAUCCUAAGCAUUUUUCUUAUAAAGUUUGUUUUAAUAUGAUGCACGGUUUGUGAGAUAUAAAAUGCAUGAUCAAGGAGGGGUUUUUGACAAAACCAAUAAACUCUGGAAAUUAGCUAAAAUCGCCACAGGAAAAAAACAACAUGGGAUGAAACUAGGCAGGAAGCCCAAUAAAGGAAAAAGGCCGGGGGCUGCUCACCGUAGGCCUAUAGGCCGUCGGUGCGGGGCUGCGGGGCACAGGCUGGAGAGACGAGGCGCUGGCGCGGCCGGACCCAUGCGCACAAGUGGGUCAAUGGCGAUGCGGUCCUUGCGCGGGCACAGGCGUGCAGUCAACGGGAGCGGGGCGGUUGUCGUGUUCAUGGCUCUGGACGACGACGAUGUGAGGCAAGGCGCCACGAGCCGCUGCGCUUCCGUCGGGACUUGGCGCGGAAGACAUCGAGGGUCGGCUGGUAGAGAAGCGGUGGCUUGGCAGGCCUCCAUGUCGAGACCCACGUGGCAUGCGACAGGGGAUGGAGCGGAUGCGAGGACUUGGAGCUCGUGGAGGAACCAUGGCAGAGGUGUAGAGGAGAUUCGGUCCACAACGGGGCCGGAUGCGAACUUGAACUACAGGUUGACGAACUGAAGGAGGCGGCCGCCCUGGCUCCUGCAGGUUGCGGUGGUAAGUGAGGUAAACGGAUCCGGGGAAGGAAGAAUGCAAGGAGGAGAGUGAGGGACGCGUCGGGACCUGCUUAGGCAAGGACGAUGGCUAGGUCUGGUGGGGAAUGAAGUUGUGGUCGUUGUUCUUGAUGCGGCAGAGGAAGCUGGAGCGAGACCCAGCGAGGAAGAUGGCAUGUAGGCUCGCGGGAGGUGGCCGCCGGUGAUGAGGUUCACCGGGGCGGUGGGUCGUGAAGUAGAGGAGCGCUCAGGCGCUGCUGCUUCUUGGGGUGGAGCGUCAGGCAUCUCCAAUGCGGGUGCUCGAGCGGAGGAGACAGAGGCGUGCGAGGCGGUGGCUGGUCUUGGGAGGUGCUCAUCUCCUUGGGUCGACGAGGAGAGCGGGGAGGCUCAGGCGCGAGGCCUCCUGUUUGGCUGUUGCCGCCACGAGGACGAGGAGGUGGGAACGCGAGGUGAAGCUCGGGCGCACUGGGCCGGGCAGGGGCCCGAGGCGCUCAGUGGUUGGAUUGGGGAAAGUGGAGGCUAAUUGGGAGGUGGCUGGAUUGGAUCUGAGGGAGAAGGUGCUUGGCUAGUUGGUUCAGAGAGGAAUGGAGGAUCCUGAGGAAGAUGAGACAGGAGGAGUGGCGGCGGCUAGGAGGAUGGGAUUUAUAGCAGAUGGAUUCAAGUUAGGGGAUAUCUCGUCCCUACGAUCAUAAUCGGACGGCUGAGAAAAUAUAGGUUAGGAAGUCCAAAUAAGAAACGAAGAUAUUUUGGAGAUGUUUGAAGAUGAUCCGGACCCAUCGGUCAUGACCGUGCGGUUUGGGUUCGGGAGAGGUUUCGAACGCACGAGGGAUUUGACAAAAGGUCAUGGAGACAAGGGGUUUGAUGGGCUCAGAAAAGAGAGAGAAGAGAGUGGUCCGGUUGAUCUGAAAGAAGGUCAACCGAGACAAGGAAGAAGCGACAACUAUGAGCGGAUGCAAGUUUUAUGAAAACAUGCGUAUGCAAUGCACAUGAUGACAUGAUGAAAUGCAAUAAGAAAACGAAACAC
Molecule: long non-coding RNA, 80022 nt
Filed under: Triticum aestivum (bread wheat)
Lineage: Eukaryota; Viridiplantae; Streptophyta; Magnoliopsida; Poales; Poaceae
Description: long non-coding RNA (TAES_LNC005987)
Source: RNAcentral